This 51791-nucleotide long non-coding RNA is filed under the name Triticum aestivum (bread wheat). RNAcentral describes it as "long non-coding RNA (TAES_LNC027142)". The record is from RNAcentral. Lineage: Eukaryota; Viridiplantae; Streptophyta; Magnoliopsida; Poales; Poaceae.
AUUUUUUUUGUGGCGUAGCACAUUUCCCUUCACCAGCCUCAACACUCUCCAAACUUCCAUCGCUUUCUACACUGAGAAAACAGUUGCUUUGUAUCCUCCGAUCCUUAAGAGCAUGAGGGACAUUGAGGCAACACCUUCAAAUGCCUAUUGGCAAGCAAAACACGGUAGGGAAGGGUGCCAAGCAAAGUACGUGAACUAUUUUUUUACUUGGCCGGGCAAGAUAAAUUCUGAACCUUACACCAAAUUGAGUUAAUGGCAAUGUUCUAUCCCCUUUAUACGUCUGAGCUUCCUCUCAUGUUGGUUAUCUCAUUGGUAUACCUCACAGAAACAUCAGGAGUUAAAUAUAUAUUUUAUUGUCCCAUCAAAGGGCAAAUCUUACCCAAAUGAUAACCGACUGGCUAAUGCUUGAUAUAUCUCCAACGUAUCUAUAAUUUUUGAUUGCUCCAUGCUACUUUACCUACUGUUUUGAGCAAUAUUGGGCUUUAUUAUCCACUUUUAUAUUAUUUUUGGGACUAACCUAUUAACCGGAGGCCCAGCCCAGAUUUGUUGUUUUAUGCCUAUUUCAGUGUUUCGAGGAAAAGGAAUAUCAGACGGAGUCAAAAUGGAACGAAGCAACCCAGAGAACUUGGAGUGCACGUCAUGGGAGAUACAGGUUGCCCACGAGGGUGGGGGGCGCCCCCCCCGGCGCGCCCCCUGCCUCAUGGGGCCCCCGUAGCUCCUCCGACGUACCCCCUGCACCCAUAUAUACUCUUGUACCCUAAAACUUCCAGAACAGAAGAUAGAUCGGGAGUUCCGCCGCCGCAAGCCUCUGUAGCCACCAAAAACCUCUCGGAAGCCCGUUCCGGCACCCUGCCGAAGGGAGGAUCCUUCACCGGUGGACAUCUUCAUCAUCCCGACGCUAUCCAUGACGAGGAGGGAGUAGUUCACCCUCGGGGCUGAGGGUAUGUACCAGUAGCUAUGUGUUUGAUCUCUCUCUCGUGUUCUCUCUCGUGUUCCUCUAUGGCACGGUCUUGAUGUAUCCCGAGCUUUGCUAUUGUAGUUGGAUCUUAUGAUGCUUCUUCCCUUCUACUCUCUUGUGAUGAAUUGAGUUUCCCCUUUAAAGUUAUCUUAUCGGAUUGAGUCUUUUAUGAGAACACUUGAUGUAUGUCUUGCCGUGAUUAUCUGUGGUGACAAUGGGAUAUCAUGUGCCACUUGAUGUAUGUUUUGGUGAUCAACUUGCGGGUUUCGUGACAUUGGGAACCUAUGCAUAGGGGUUGGCACACGUUCUUGACUCUCCGGUAGAAACUUUGGGGCACUCUUUGAAGUACUUUUAUGUUGGUUGGAUGAAUCUGAGAUUGUGUGAUGCAUAUCGUAUAAUCAUGCCCAUUGAUACUUGAGGUGACAAUGGAGUAUCUAGGUGACAUUAGGGUUUUGGUUGAUUUGUGUCUUAAGGUGUUAUUCUAGUACGAACUCUUUUAUAGAUUGAUCCGAAAGAAUAGCUUUGAGGUGGUUUCAUACCCUACCAUAAUCUCUACGUUUGUUCUCCGCUAUUAGUGGCUUUGGAGUGACUCUUUGUUGCAUGUUGAGGGCUUGUUAUAUUAUCUAUCUAUGUUAUUAUUAUUGAGAGAACUUGCACUAGUGAAAGUAUGAACCCUAGGCCUUGUUUCCUAUCAUUGCAAUACCGUUUACGCUCACGUUUAUCACUUGUUACCUUGCUGUUUUUAUUAUUUCAGAUUACAAAUACCUUUAUCUACCAUCCAUAUUGCACUUGUAUCACCAUCUCUUCGCCGAACUAGUGCACCUAUACAAUUUACCAUUGUAUUGGGUGUGUUGGGGACACAAGAGACUCUUUGUUAUUUGGUUGCAGGGUUGUUUGAGAGAGACCAUCUUCAUCCUACGCCUCCUACGGAUUGAUAAACCUUAGGUCAUCCACUUGAGGGAAAUUGGCUACCGUCCUACAAACCUAUGCACUUGCAGGCCCAACAACGUCUACAAGAAGAAGGUUGUGUAGUAGACAUCAAGCUCUUUUCUGGCGUCGUUGCCGGGGAGGCUAGGUAAGUGAAGGUAUAUCUUUAGAUCUUGCAAUUGAAUCUUUUUUUUCUUGUUUUAGCACUAGUUAGUCUAUAAAAGAAAAUUACAAAAAAAAUGGAGUUAAGUUUGUCUCAUACGCUUCACCUUUUUAAUAUCUUUCGUGAGUAUGAUGGAAAGGAUAAUUGUGCUCAAGUGCUAGAAGAAGAAAUCUCUAAAUUGUUUGGCACUAAAUCUUUGAAUGAUGAGCAUGAUUGCAAUGUUGUUAGUAUGAAUUUCUUGAAUAUCCAUGAUUCUAAUGAUAUGCAAAGCCACAAGCUUCGGGAAACUAUGUUUGAUGAAGAUGAUAUUUUUUGUCCCCCAAGCUUUGAUGAGCAAAUUUACUAUGAUGAAAGCAUGCCUCCUAUCUAUGAUGAUUAUUGUGAUGACACGUAUGCUUUAAAGAAUAAUGAUAACCAUGAAACUUGUCAUCUUGAUCUUAAUUUUCAAUCAUAUGAUAGUUAUUUUGUUGAGUUUGCUCCCACUACUAUUCAUGAGAAGAAUUUUGCUUAUGAGGAGAGUAGUAAAUUUUCUAUGCUAGUAGAUCAUGAAAAGAAUGCUUUAGGUGCUGGUUAUACUGUUGAAUUUAUUCAUGAUGCUACUGAAAAUUAUUAUGAGGGAGGAACAUAUGCUUGUAGGAAUUGCAAUAAUAUAAAGUUUCCUCUCUAUGUGCUUAAAUUCUUGAAGCUAUGCUUGUGUUACCUUCCUAUGCUUGUUGAUUAUUGUUCCCAUAAGUUGUUUGCUCACAAAAUCCUUAUGCAUAGGAAGUGGGUUAGACUUAAAAGUGCUAGUCAUGUGCUUCAUGAUGCUCCCGUUAUGUUUCAAUUCUUAUCUUUUAUGUGAGCAUCAUUGUCAUCAUCAUGCCUAGCUAGAAAGGCAUUAAAGAAAAGCGCUUGUUGGGAGACAACUCAAUAUUUACCUUUACUGUUUUUGUGUGCCCACAUGAUUAUGCUACUGUAAUAAUCAUGUUUUAUAGCUUUUGUUUCAAUAAAGUGCCAAGUAAGACCUUUAGGAUGGCUUACGAUGAUAAUUGUGUUGAUCCUGCUGAAAAUCAGAAACUUUUGCACCCAGUAAAUUAGUUUUGUUAAUUCACAGAAACGUGAUUUUGAUCUGAUUAUAUUUUCUCUGGAUUGGUACACGAAUUUCUUAGGACUUGGUAGGAUUUUUGGAGUUCCAGAAGUAUGCGUUUGAUACAGAUUACUACAGACUGUUCUAUUUUUGACAGAUUCUGUUUUCUAUGUGUUGUUUGCUUAUUUUGAUGCAUCUAUGGCUAGUAUUAAGUGGUAUGAACCAUAGAGAAGUUAAAAUUAGUAGAUAUUACACCAAUAUGAAUUAAAAAUGAGUUCAUUACAGUACCUAUGUGGUGGUUUUGUUUUCUUAUACUAACGGAGCUUACGAGUUUUCUGUUGAGUUUUGUGUUGUGAAGUUUUCAAGUUUUGGUAAAGAUUCGAUGGACUAUGGAAUAAGGAGUGGCAAAGAGCCUAAGCUUGGGGAUGCCCAAGGCACCCCAAGAUAUCCAAGAAUAGCCAAAAGCCUAAGCUUGGGGAUGCCCCGGAAGGCAUCCCCUCUUUCGUCUUCGUUCAUCGGUAACUUUACUUGGAGCUAUAUUUUUAUUCACCACAUGAUAUGUGUUUUGCUUGGAGCGUCAUUUUAUUUUGUUAGUAUUUGCUUGCUGUUAGUUAGAAUAAUGUUUUGCAUCUUUAGUUUCAAUAAAGAAGUCAAGGAUAGCCUUUGCCAUGCUUACUUUGCUAGUAUACAUGUUGCUGUUUGAAAACAGAAAGUUUACCACUGUUGCAGAAAUUCCCUAGAAAAGUCAGAGAGUGGUAUAAUGUUGAAUCUUUUUGCAUAUUUAGCUCUGAUAAAUUUAUUACAGUGGGAAUUUUAUUUCAUAAUUUUUGGAGUCAGGGAAGUAAUGAUACUCUUGCAUUCUUUACAGACUGUACUGUUUUGGCAGAUUGCUGUUAUGGUUGCAUUGUUUGCAUAUGUUUGUUUGUUUAAUGAUUCUAUUUGAGGAUAGGAGUAUUAAAUAUGCAUAGGCAUUUAGUAUGCAAUGUUGAAUAAUAAUUUUAGUGAUUUUUUACAGUAGAAAAUGAUAAGGUUUUGCAUUGGUUUAUACUAUCCUAUCUCACGAGUUCUUGUUGAGUUUGUUGUGAAUUAAGCUUUUGAUAAAAAGAGAAACCAUGAUAUGAGAGGAAUUAAGGAGACACAAAAGUUCAAGCUUGGGGAUGCCCAAGGCACCCCAAUAUAAUAUUUCAAGAAGUCUCAAGCAUCUAAGCUUGGGGAUGCCCCGGUAGGCAUCCCACCUUUCUUCUUCAAUAACUAUCGGUUAGUAUUGGUUGAGCCUAAAUUUUUGCUUCUUCACAUGAGUUGUGCUAUCCUUGCAAUGUAGUUUUCUUUAGCUUUGCUUGCUGUUUGAAUAAAGUAUCAAGAUCUGAAAUUAUUAAUUGAGAGAGAGUCUCCGCAUAGUUGCAUAAUUAUUUAGCUACUCAUUGACCUUCACUUAUUUCUUUCGGAGUAGUUUGUCAUUUGCUCUAGUGCAUCACUUAUCCCUUAUAGAGCAUGGUGGUAGUUUUAUUUUGAAGAAAUAGAUGAACUCUCAUACUUCACUUAAAUUAUUUUGAGAGUCAUUAAUAGCAUGGUAAUUUGCUCAAUAUUAAUAUACUUGGUAUUCAAGAUAUGUGAAACUUUCUUAUGAGUGUGUUGAAUACUAAGAAAAGUUUGAUACUUGAUAAUUGUUUUGAGAUAUGGAGGUAGUGAUAUUAAAGUCAUGCUAGUUGGGUGAUUAUGAAUUCAAAGAAUGCUUGUGUUGAAGUUAGCAAGUCCCGUAGCAUGCACGUAUGGUUAAAGUUGUGUAACAAAUUUGAAACAUGAAGUGUACCUGGCUUGUGCAUCCUUAUGAGUGGCGGUCGGGGACGAGCGAUGGUCUUUUCCUACCAAUCUAUCCCCCUAAGAGCAUGCGCGUAGUACUUGAUUUUUGAUGACUUCUAAAUUUUUGCAAUAAGUAUAUGAGUUCUUUUGACUAAUGUUGAGUCCAUGGAUUAUACGCACUCUCACCUUUCCGCCUUUGCUAGCCUCUUCGGUACCGUGCAUUGCCCUUUCUCACUUUGAGAGUUGGUGCAAACUUCACCGGUGCAUCCAAACCCCGUGAUACGAUACGCUCUAUCACACAUAAACCUCCUUAUAUCUUCCUCAAAACAGCCACCAUACCUACCUAUUAUGGCAUUUCCAUAGCCAUUUCGAGAUAUAUUGCCAUGCAACUUUCCACCAUUCCGUUCAUCAUCAUCAUGACAUACAUUACUUUUGUCAUAUUGCCAUUGCAUGAUCAUGUAGUUGACAUCGUAUUUGUGGCAAAGCCACCAUGCAUUAUUUUUCAUACAUGUCACUCUUGAUUCAUUGCGCCAUCCCGGUACACCGCCGGAGGCAUUCAUAUAGAGUCAUAUCUUAUUCUAAGUUUCGAGUUGUAAUGCUUAUGUUGUAAUCAAUAGAAGUGUGAUGAUCAUCAUUAUUAGAGCAUUUCCCAAAAAAAAAGAGAAAGGCAAAAAAAAACAAUAAUAAAAAAAGGGGGCAAUGCUACUAUCUCUUUUUCCACACUUGUGCUUCAAAGUAGCACCUUGUCCUUCAUGUAAUGAGUCUCAUAUAUUGUGCUUCAAAGUAGCACCUUGUUCUUCAUGUAGUGAGUCUCAUAAGUUGUCUUUUUAUACUAGUGGGAAUUUUUCAUUAUAGAACUUGGCUUGUAUAUUCCUACGAUGGGUCUCCUCAAAUGCCCUAGGUCUUCAUGAGCAAGCGAGUUGGAUGCACACCCACUAGUUUUAUUUUGUUGAGCAUUCAUAGCUCUAGUGCAUCCGUUGCAUGGCAAUCCCUACUCCUCAUGUUGACAUCAAUUGAUGGGAAUCUCCAUAGCCCGUUGAUUAUCCUCAUCAAUGUGAGACUUUCUCCUUUUUUGUCUUCUCCACGCAAUCCCCAUCAUCAUAUUCUAUUCCACCCAUAGUGCUAUAGGCAUGGCUCGCGCUCAUGUAUUGCGUGAAGGUUGAAAAAGUUUGAGAUUAUUUAAGUAUGAAACAAUUGCUUGGCUUGUCAUCGGGGGUAUAGAAGUUGGGAACAUCUUUGUGUGACGAAAAUGAAGCAUAGCCUAACUAUAUGAUUUUGUAGGGAUGAACUUUCUUUUGCCAUGUUAUUUUGAGAAGACAUGAUUACUUCGAUUAGUAUGCUUGAAGUAUUAUUAUUUUUAUGUCAAUAUGAACUUUUGUCUUGAAUCUUUCGGAUAUGAAUAUUCAUAUCACAAUUAAAAAGAUUUACAUUGAAAUUAUGCCAAAGUAUCACUCCACAUCAAAAAUUCUUUUUUAUCAUUUACCUACUCGAGGACAAGCAGGAAUUAAGCUUGGGGAUGCUUGAUACGUCUCCAACGUAUCUAUAAUUUUUGAUUGCUCCAUGCUACUUUAUCUACCGUUUUGGGCAAUAUUGGGCUUUAUUAUCCACUUUUAUAUUAUUUUUGGGACUAACCUAUUAACCGGAGGUCCAGCCCAGAUUUGCUGUUUUAUGCCUAUUUCAGUGUUUCGCGGAAAAGGAAUAUCAGACAGAGUCAAAAUGGAACGAAAUCAACUGGAGAAGUUAUUUUUGGAAGAAAAGCAACCCAGGGAACUUGGAGUGCACGUCAGGAGAGAUACGGGCUGCCCACGAGGGUGGGGGCGCCCCCCUCCCCCCCGGGCGCGCCCCCUACCUCGUGGGCCCCCCGUAGCUCCUCCGACGUACCCCCCGCACCCAUAUAUGCUCUUGUACCCUAAAACUUCCAGAACAGAAGAUAGAUCGGGAGUUCCACUGUCGCAAGCCUCUGUAGCCACCAAAAACCUCCCGGGAGCCCGUUCCGACACCCUGCCGGAGGGAGGAUCCUUCACCGGUGGCCAUCUUCAUCAUCCCGGCGCUAUCCAUGACGAGGAGGGAGUAGUUCACCCUCGGGGCUGAGGGCAUGUACUAGUAGCUAUGUGUUUGAUCUCUCUCUCUCGUGUUCCUCUAUGGCACGAUCUUGAUGUAUCCCGAGCUUUGCUAUUGUAGCUGGAUCUUAUGAUGUUUCUCCCCCUCUACUCUCUUGUGAUGAACUGAGUUUCCCCUUUGAAGUUAUCUUAUCGGAUUGAGUCUUUUAUGAGAACACUUGAUGUAUGUCUUGCCGUGAUUAUCUGUGGUGACAAUGGGAUAUCAUGUGCCACUUGAUGUAUGUUUUGGUGAUCAACUUGCGGGUUUCGUGACAUUGGGAACCUAUGCAUAGGGGGUGGCACACGUUCUUCACUCUCUGGUAGAAACUUUGGGGCACUCUUUGAAGUACUUUUAUGUUAGUUGGAUGAAUCUGAGAUUGUGUGAUGCAUAUCAUAUAAUCAUGCCCAUGGAUACUUGAGGUGACAAUGGAGUAUCUAGGUGACAUUAGGGUUUUGGUUGAUUUGUGUCUUAAGGUGUUAUUCUAGUACGAACUCUUUUAUAGAUUGAUCCGAAAGAAUAGCUUUGAGGUGGUUUCGUACCCUACCAUAAUCUCUACGUUUGUUCUCCGCUAUUAGUGGCUUUGGAGUGACUCUUUGUUGCAUGUUGAGGGCUUGUUAUAUUAUCUAUCUAUGUUAUUAUUGUUGAGAGAACUUGCACUAGUGAAAGUGUGAACCCUAGGCCUUGUUUCCUAUCAUUGCAAUACCAUUUACGCUCACGUUUAUCACUUGUUACCUUGCUGUUUUUAUUAUUUCAGAUUACAAAUACCUUUAUCUACCAUCCAUAUUGCACUUGUAUCACCAUCUCUUCGCCGAACUAGUGCACCUAUACAAUUUACCAUUGUAUUGGGUGUGUUGGGGACACAAGAGACUCUUUGUUAUUUGGUUGCAGGGUUGUUUGAGAGAGACCAUCUUCAUCCUACGCCUCCUACGGAUUGAUAAACCUUAGGUCAUCCACUUGAGGGAAAUUUGCUACUGUCCUACAAACUUGUGCACUUGCAGGCCCAACAACGUCUACAAGAAGAAGGUUGUGUAGUAGACAUCAAUGCUCCAUCUAGUUCUUCCCUCAAUUCUUCUUGCUGAUUCCAUGGAGUGAUGCGGUACUGCUAGAUCAGUACGCGCGGGUACCUCGAAAGUGUCGUCCUCUUCGACAAUAGAUCAACGGAUCAUCCCGGAGAAAAUUCUCGUGGCUGGGAUAUAAAUAACUUAGACGUGGAAAUCGGCAAGCUUCACCAACUCUUCUUCCUCUUCCACCGUGUUGAUUGUUGGUGAGAUCAUCGUUAUCAGUAACCUCCAGAGUGUCGAAUGCAGCUUCGGUGCCGUGACUGCACCUACCUUUGGGUGUGUAACAUGUGGGCCAACCAUCUGUUGGGCCCACAUGUCAUGCACACAAAGGCAGGUGCCUUAAGACACUGAAACUCAGUCCCAUAGUGUUCAUAGGCAUGUUCGUACAUGUAUUCUUUUUUGUGGCGUAGCACGUUUCCCUUCACCAGCCUCAACACUCUCCAAACUUCCAUCGUUUUCUACACCGAGAAAACAGUUGCUUUGUAUCCUUCGAUCCCUAAGAGCAUGAGGGACAUUGAGGCAGCACCUUCAAAUGCCUAUUGGCAAGCAAAACACGGUAGGGAAGGGUGCCAAGCAAAGUAGCGAACUGUUUUUUACUUGGCCGGGCAAGAUAAAUUAUGAACCUUACACCAAAUUGAGUUAAUGGCAAUGUUCUAUCCCCUUGGUACGUCCGAGCUUCCUCUCAUGUUGGUUAUCCCAUUGGUAUACCUCAUAGAAGCAUCUGAAGUUAAAUAUAUAUUUUAUUGUCCCAUCAAAGGGCAAAUAUUACCCAAAUGAUAACCGCCUGGCUAAUGCUCCAUCUAGUUCUCCCUCAAUUCUUCUUGCUGAUUCCAUGAAGUGUUGCGGUACUGCUAGAUCAGUACGUGCGGGUACCUCAGAAGUGUCGUCCUCUUCGACAAUAGAUCAACAGAUCAUCCCGAAGAAAAUUCUCUUUGCUGGGAUAUAAUUAACUUAGACGUGGAAAUCGGCAAGCUUCAUCAACUCUUCUUCCUCUUCCACUGUGUUGAUUGCUGGUGAGAUCAUCGUUACCAAUAACCUCCAUAGUGUUGGAUGCAGCUUCGGUGCCGUGACUGCACCUACCUUUGGGUGUGUGACAUGUGGGUCAGCUAUCUGUUGGGCCCACAUGUCAUGCACACAAAGGCAGGUGCCUUAAGGCACUGAAACUCAAUCUCAUAGUGUUCAUAGGCAUGUUCAUACAUGUAUUCUUUUUGUGGCGUAGCAUGUUUCCUUUCACCAGCCUCAACACUCUCCAAACUUCCAUCACUUUCUACACCGAGAAAACAGUUGCUUUGUAUCAUCCGAUCCUUAAGAGCAUGAGGGACAUUGAGGCAGCACCUUCAAAUGCCUAUUGGCAAGCAAAACACGGUAUGGAAGGGUGCCAAGCAAAGUACGCGAACUGUUUUUUUACUUGGCCGAGCAAGAUAAAUUCUGAACCUUACACCAAAUUGAGUUAAUGGCAAUGUUCUAUCCCCUUUGUACGUCUGAGCGUCCUCUCAUGUUGGUUAUCCCAUUGGUAUACCUCAUAGAAGCAUCUGGAGUUAAAUAUAUUUUUAUUGUCCCAUCAAAGGACAAAUCUUACCCAAAUGAUAACCGCCUGGCUAAUGCUCCAUCUAGUUCUUCCCUCAAUAUGACUUGAAGCUCUUUUCUAGUGAUAUCCACGAAUUCCAGGUCAAGCUUUCUUAGGCUUGGGAAACCAUUGAAUUCGAAUGGUGGUCUGAAGGAUGCAAAGCUAAGUUGAAUAUAUUUUAGACGUGAUAUGCUUUCAAUAUCCAAAAGGUGAAAUGGAAAUAUGUAACGAAAGAUAUCUCAAACUGCCUUGUUAACAGGGUUUAAGUAGACAACAAUGCUCUUUGUCUGUGAUGACACAACAAAAUCAACCCAGUUAUUGAGAUGAGUAGCCAGCAUGAUGUCAAAUUCGAAUUUGACAUGGAAUUCUUUGACCACCGUGCCGUGGAAAUUUCUCAAGACUGCAUUGACAUCAUUGAUAAAUUUCUGCAUGUAUUCACAAUAUUCUUUUCUUAAAAAACUAUCGCGGCAACACCCAGCAGCACCAGUGAAACAUAAUUUGUGGCAAGAAACAUCGCGGAUAGAUCUCCAGUGACUUGAUAAAACACUGGCCCUUGAAAUCUCUUUAGGAGGCAACUUUGACAAAAUUGUGCACAUCACAUCCUACGUCAACGGAAUAUAGAUGCUUGAGAUUACAAGUUAUAGCUGUACUCGACUGUAUAUCAAAAAAAGGGAAAUUUGACAUACAUUUGGAAGGUCUCCCAAUUUAACGUCUGAGCUCGCCUUCUUCUAGAUUGAAUUCCCAUGGGUAUGGUCUGAUGAUGUGCUUUGCGCAUUUGAUGGCUCCUCAUCUGUAAAACUGAAUAUGAGAAGUCAGAGUUCCUCCAAGAUUAUAUGAUACUCCCUCUGUAAAUUAAAAUAAAAGCGUUUAGAUCACUAGAUAUUCACAAGUGUAUUAACUGCUAGUAGUAGGCAUUACUGUAGAUAAUCCGAGGAACUACUCCCUCCGUUUCAUAAUAUAAGAAUGUUUUUGGCACUCAGAGGGAGUAGUUGUUUGUCGUCGGUGCCAGCGCUUCGGUGCUUGGGAGGUCCGAUUGAUGUCGGCUUUUAACGGGACGUGAGACGAUUUGAUUCGGCCAGGGCUGGACUCGGAUUCCUGGGCCCGAUUUUAGAGAGGAUAGCGAAGCGCGUUCCGCUUCCCGGCCCAACCCUCUUUCCUUCCGCUUCUCGGCCCACCCUCCAUACAAAUGGAAAACCCUAAUAAGAAACCCUAAGAAACCCUUCUCCCCCGCCACCGGCCACCACCCCGACCACGAGCAAGACAACCGGACAACGGAAGCGGCGAUGGGAUGCACGGCGUCCACGCGACGUGCGGGGCGGGGCUCGCUCGUGUUCGAGGUCUCAGGGUACGGCGGAGUUAGCCUCGACGUACAAUCAUCGGAAGUAUUCACCGUCGGCGCUUACGACUGGCAGAUUCGUUUCUAUGAGGAAGGAGUGUUUGGGCAUUCCGGAGGCUAUGUGGCGGUCUAUCUCUUUUUAGUCAGCAAGAAGGCCAAGGUGAGGGCAACCUUCGAGCUCAGUUUGGUGGACAUCACUGGAUCAACGCCGCCUCGUACGAUGAGGACGGUCGCCGCAGAAUUCGACUCUGGCGACCGGACGUGCUUCGGCCAUCCCGAGUUCAUGAGGAAGAGCGACCUCGAGGCGUCGCCUUACCUUCGCGGCGGCGAUCGCCUCACAAUUGAGUGUACCAUCACUAUCUGCACGGAAGCGCCCAAAUCAUUUGUUGAGGUGCCGUUGCCGCCAUCCGACAUCACGGAUCACCUCAGGAAGCUGUGGCAAGGGAAAGAGGGCACCGAUGUCACCUUCGAGGUUCAAGGGGAGGCUUUUCCUGCCCACAAGACAGUGCUCGCGAUGCGGUCACCGGUGUUUAAGGCAGAGUUGUACGGUGCCUUGAGGGAAAAUGAUAUGGGUCGCGUUAUCAUCGGCGACAUGCAACCUGCAGUCUUCGAGGCCCUGCUCCAUUUUAUAUACACCGAUUCGUUGCCCACCAUGCAUGAUCUUUACCAAGAUCAAGAUGAGUACAAAGAGAUUAUUGGACAUUUGCUUGUAGCCGCGGAUCGCUAUGCCAUGGAAAGACUGAAGAUCAUAUGUGAAAGCAUCCUUUGCAAGAACAUAGAUUCGAAGACCGUGGUGACUACACUGCCUUUGGCUGAUCAGCAUCACUGCAACAAGUUGACUGAUGCUUGCAUUGAAUUUAUUGCCUCUUUGGGUAAAGUGGAUGAUAUAAUAGCAAGCCAGGGAUAUGAUGAGCUCAAAAGAACCUGUCCUUUGGCUUUACUGGAACUGUGGGAGAAGGCAACUAGGCUGUACAUGAUAUAGUCUUCAUUUCACAUUGGCAUGUGUGUUAAGUCACAUACAUAUCUUGCUACUUGUUUGAUGAAGGAUUAGUUUAUUUUAAUAUAUCUGAAGCUUUGGUGGAAAACAGUAUUACUCUGCUAAUGUUUUUCGUUUGUCAAGAUGUUGCAUACUUAUCCUUUUAGCGCAAAUGGUAUUGUUGCUAAACAAUAUAUAUGAGUGUUUAAUUGUCUGUUCGAAAAUUUUGUCAUAGGUUUUAAUUACCACACUACAUGUGCAGGCUAGUGUAUGCUACUCACUUCAAUGAUGAUAUCUGCCGUAACGAAUAAGCAGCAAAAUGCGACAAGAGUGGGACAGGAGUGUGUUAAUGUGAUUAUAUGGGAACAUUUCGUCAUAAUAUGAAAUUCGAAACGGGAGAAUGAAUGCCACAUUUUCGAACUCGUGUUGUAAAAUAAUAGGGGUGCAUUUGAAACAAUAAUUCUUGCACUGGAAGGUGUUCAAUUUCCUUUGCCAGGUACUUUUCUGUUCUUGCAUCCUCCAAUUGGUUUCAGUUUUUAUUUUACUUAUUACCUGAAAAGUUGAGACUGAAUCCAUAAAAAGUUGACCCAUCGGUAAGCUUUUAAUUCUUUUACAAAUAUAAAAUGAAAUAAGUAAUCAAUCUAACCUAUAAAAUGAUUGAGUACCACCACAUCAUCCAUCUAUACUGUUAUAUAAACAUCAUCGGUACAUCACAGUAUUGGGCAACUGGCCUAUAUCAUGCUAUUACUUUGAAUGAAACACAUUUGUACUAUAUGACAGUAACUAAUUGGAAGAGUGCAGUAUGUUAAUGCACCUGCAUAUCCUUGAGGAAUAAAAUAUCGAAUAAAAGUUGACAUUUGAAAGUACCCCUUGUGUUGUAAAUUAAUCAUUUUGAUACAGAAGGAACGCAAUAAUGAAGAAGCAUGUAAAAAACUGGGGAAAGUAUUGUUCGUAACAGGUUAUAUGCAGCCCUACCGUCUACAGGAACGCAUCAAAGCAAACUUUGGAACUUGGUGCAUGUCAGGCAAGUCGGGAUUUAGUUGUUAUUUACAGAGGUGAUUUCUGUUCCCUUUAAUUUGUAGGAAUUUGGGGCAGGGAAGCAACUGAAUAUCUUUUUCAAAAGUAUUCUCAAUCUGAUUUGUAUGUGACGAGAUUAUUAAUCAGUUUGAUUGAUUGAGAUAUUUUUUGUAUUUGCCGCAGCAUGUAUGUACCAAGCAGGAUUGCAAGUCAUUCUCACCUUAGGAUAGUAUUCAUACCUAUUAGCAAGUCUACAUGGAUCAUUUAAUGUUGCAAUUGUGUGCUGACCCAAAACCCUAGAAAUAGUUCAACCAUUUUCCUCAAAGGCGUAUUAUUACAUCUAAGGCAAAAUCAAUUGAUUAGUUUUACUAUUUCUAACGUUUCUAAGUAGUGUUGAACCAUCUCCACAGGAGCUUGACAAUUUAGUGCUACCAGCCAUGUUUCACAGUACUAACACAAAGGUCAAUGCAGAAGUCUUUUAUAUAAUUAUUCACCUUGAGGAACACAUAGAAUUUGUUGCGAGAUGGAACAAUAAGUGUAGCUUAUAGUGACAUCAAAGAUUGCAGCUGUAUUUCACAAUAUUUUGAUGCCCAGAAAAUCUACUUGCUUUUGAUAGUACUGUAAGACCGCAUGAUACAGUGGUUCUCUUAGGUGUAUAUGAAAUUAGUUCAGUUAAAAUUAGAGGUCUAUGAUUCACCACGUUUUCCAGCGAUUAGAUAUAAAUGUUUUAUUGAAGUCUAUUGAAAGUUACUAAUGACAUCUGGAAGUCUGCACCUCCCUCUUUUUUCAGACCUAAGUUGUUUUCUCUGAAAGUCCAGCAUAAUACUCUGAAAAGAAGGUCAGGUUUUCUCCCUUUAGUCAAGUUACUCUGACUUGGUUUAAUUUUAAAAUAGUAGAUAUAUUCCUUCCUAAUUUUGUCAAGUUACCCUCCUAAUCUACCAUGCAGUUCCAUGUUUCAACUUGUUGCGUAAAUAUUUUUCUCUUUGUUUGACCAGAUGUUCACUGAAUAAUAGUCGGUCAUUGGUUAUUUGUUUGUUUGUGUGCAGUUUGCUUUUUUAAACCCAACAUUUAAACAUGAAACUGAAAUAUUAAGUUUAUCUGAAUAACAUUUGGUCACUGAACUAUUCCUCGUUCACUAUAAUUUUGUCAAAGUUUUAUGUAAUAGGUUUAAAAAAUAUGUUCAAAAAAUUAGCAUACAACUUGAGAGAAACCUAUCUUUUAGUUUUGGUUAUUACAAGGAGACAGAAAAGAGAUGACAUAGGCAUAUAGCUGGGAGGAGAGAGAAAUUAUGUGAUUUGGCACAGCAGACUAGCACAGAACCGAGAGAAGGGGGUUGUCAAGUGAACGGUUCUCAGAGUUCACAUGGUUAAAUGAACCAAAUCAAAGUCCAAGAUUGUUAUCUGAACCCUAAAACGAUUUCAAGGGGUGAUAUGGACUUCUCGACUACUAGAGAAUGUGCCUUCAACUUGCAGGGUCAAUGGACAUGCACCUUUGAUUUAACAUUUGAGAUUUUAAAUGCUCUCUGAAUUAGGGCAAGCAAACAAGCAUUUUCUUAAAAUUGUUGUUUAUAUGCUUGUUCUAUUAAUUUUCUUUUAGUGAUUCACAUUUGAGACUUUUUUUUCUUAAAUUGAAGAAUUUAAGCUCCAAUAUAAAGUAAUAUGUAUAAAUCACAGGGAAAUGAAUUGAAAAUGUAGAACUACGUACUCCCUCCGUAAAUAAAUAUAAGAUCAUUUAGAUCACUUCGUAAAAGGUACUCUCCCUGUAAAGAAAUAUAAGACCGUUUAGAUCAGUGUAGGAUAUGACACUUGAAAUGGAUAUGGAUGACGCAUCAAAGCACCAUGGGUUUCUAGCAACAACCACAAAGACCACACACGAUGUAUAACAUCCCAAUUUUAUUAGGACGUUUAUAAAAGCAUUAAUUUGCAUCUUAUUAUUCAAAUGCGUAUUUGAAUAUUCAAGAACAUUUAAAUUUAAACUAUUUUCAACUCAAAGAAAUAAAAGAGAACAUAAUAUUACUUAUAUUCCUUAUGAAAGGAGUGAGAAAAUGUUAAGAUGUCAUUUGGAGUGGAUAAAUACAAUCUUGGUAAUUAAGUAAACUCUACAAAUAUUUAAGGGAAUUAUUAUUAGGUCCAAACUAGCUGUAUAAAUAAAAUGAAUUUACAACAUUGCACUUCGAGUUGAGAAUAAUUUUUCUAGGCUCUAUAUGAGUAUUAUUUUUUGCAAUUUUCUGGUAUUUUCUGAAAAACAUAUAUUUUACACUAUUAUUUGAGCCAUAAUUUCUAGACUAAUUUUGUUACGAAAUUCUAUACUAACUAGACUAGAACAGUGUUUCAGCCUAGUAACACACCAAACAGACCGCGACCAUUUUAGGCCCCCAACCUAGUUCCUUUCUCAAAACGGUAUGGGCAUCGAGGGCCGUUAGUUUUAUGAUCAUCUCUUUCUCUCUUUUCUUGCCUCGCUCCUCUGCAUCUCUUGGCAUACUGUCUUUGCCCAUGGAGCACCACAUCGUCUGAACAGUGCACACUUGACCACACCAGAGCACCGCCGAGCACUCCACACCCGUCCAGAUCACCGACCACACUGCCGUGAUGACUGCGACAAGUUUAACCCUGACGUGUACUUCCUCGACGCUGACGACCAUCGGAGACCAUGCCACAUUUGACCCGAGUCGUCAUGCCACUGUCUUUUGUUCGUCUGUUUAGAAAUAGAUUCUGUAGAUUAGAAUUUAUUUCUUCCGAAUUGUUGUUUGAACUUAGCCCUAGAUCUGCACUAAAAUCCAACGGUUGUUAUUUUGUUUGUGCCUUAAUCGGUAUCUUUUGAUCUAGUCUGUCCAUUUUCAUUUAAAUAGGACGAAUAUAUUUUAUUUAGCCACGAAUCAACAUUAACUAGUCUGAUGCUGCCACGUGUCACAUUAUUUUGCAGAAAAUCCCACGAAACUUCUAACAUUCUGUAAAUUGUUAGUCUUGGAGUGCUUAUGACCUAUUAGUUUAACAUUUUUAAUUAUUCAAAUGUGAUAAAUUCAAAUUCAAAUUCAAAUUCAAAUAUUAUUUUAGCCAUAUCUUGCAAUCUGGAGAUCCAGUUUAGUUGUUUCUUUUUGCAUGAUGGAAGCCUGAUCAAAUCCUAUCUACUACUACCUCCGUCUCGGUGUAUAAGUCAUUCGCGUAGUUCUAGGUCAUCGAUUUGAGGAAUUAAAUAUGUGCUAUAUGUCAUGAAAAGUAUAUCACUAGAUUUCUACACGGAUGUAGUUUCUAAAUAUAUAUUUUUUGUCACAUAUAAUACAUAUUUAGAUAGUUAAAUUGUCGACCUAGAACUACGCGAAUGACUUAUACACCGGGACGGAGGGAGUAAGCCGUUAAUAGUACAUAUCAAAAUCAUUCCUAUGUCAUGUAUAUGAUGUAUCUUUUAUGCCUUUCGCUCUUAUAGUUGCACUUUUGCACUUAAGACCCUAUAUUAGCUAAGGCUAUAUAUACUAGUGCCUCCGAUCCAAAUUAAUUGGCGCAACCUCUUCUAUACAUGUAUAGAAGGGGAUAAUAUGUUUUGUUGAGUUCUGUUUGCUAUCUUUGCAAGUAAUUUUAUUUGCAUGCUUAAUUAUAAUAGUUUUCAAAUUUAUUUCAUUCUACGAUAGAUUGUUUGGACUGCCAAGCCGCUUACUUACAUGAAUUAGAGUAUCAUCACCAGCACCAAGGCAAGUUGCAUUCUUUUGUGCAUGUCCAUUUACCAAUAUCUUUACUAAGCAUUUAGUAUAUUUUGAGUAGUAUGCAUGAGCAUGUUUAUAUAUUCUAAAUAUGCAAGUAUGAGCCCACUGUAGUUCAAUAAGUACGUCUGAGUUCUAAUUACCUGUCUGUCGUCGUUGUAGUUUGCUUAAUUUGCUAAAGUAGGAGGAUACUUUGGUGAAGUGUAAUUCAUGGGAAGUUAUGAAUGAUAAUGUAGUAAGGAAGACCAACUAAAUUCGUGGUACGUGGGUGGAAUAGUAAUUAUAAAGUGGUGAGGUACAAUGUUAGCAUCAUGGAGAAUGUGAUCUCUUAAAAGAUACACCUGUGGCAUUGCACACUAGUGGACCGCCGCUAAGGCUUAAAAAGACCAACCAGUUUUCAUGAAUAGUUGCUUCCAUGUGCAACCACAAGCAAUUUCAGGCUUUGUGUUAGUUAAGUAGGUUGUGCUGAACCUUGUCUUGUAGGCUACCCUCUGAAAGUCUUCGUCUUGAUCUUCUACCAGUUCUCCCAUGUUGAACACGAACCUCACUGGAUCUAAAGGUCGAAGCCCCUCCGACCUUCCAGCGCCUGCCGUCGAGUCGAUGACACGGUCACGAAGAUAGCGCCAACCAACCAAGCACGGUGCACGCAGGCAAGAUCACUUGCGACGGUGGCAACAUCUGUUGAAUGGUCACCACACAUCCCAGCCGGCGGCACGGGUGACGACUUCCUCUAGAGCACACCGGCUCUCCAGGUCGAAGGACAUGUCGGUGUUGCUCCCUUUCCUUUCCACUGCCACAUGGGCGCUUGCUGCAACCCGACGGUGUGAAGGAUUAGGAAGGCGCGCAGCCGCCCGUGCCCUAGAACGGACUGUUGCUGCUGCAUCGUAAGAGCAUAUCGAACAGGCACGCUAAAUUAGCCGUGCGUUGGAAAAAACGAUUAUUUAGCGCGCGCGCGACCGAAACCGGCGCUCCAGUAGACGCGCUAAAAUCCCGCACGCGGCAAAGUUGGUUCAGUGCGCUGGGGAAAACGGCAUCGCGCGCUGCUUAGUUGCGCUCGCUCCUGCGCGUUGGACAUGGCAAUCGGGCGCGCGAAUCUAACCAACCGCCAGAUCUGAAACCUCCAGGCGCUGGGCCUCCGCCCGCACCUUCCCCAUUCGCUUCGGCGACCCGCCAGCGCUUCCCCCGCCUAUCCCUGCGCGCCACCGCUGCUUCCUCUGCCUUCUCUCCUCGCCGCCGCCCCUCGAGCGCACCUUUCCUCCGAUGAACAGUGCCCGGUGGGCGUUUCCAGCUCGGCGCCCACAAGGUGUUUGAUAAAACGCUUGCAAGGUAUUUAUUGCUUCAACUUUAUAUUCGUAGAUGAAUUUGAUGCAUGUUGUUUGUAGUUUUAAAUUAGUUUAAAUUCAAUUUUGUAGAUGAGUUCGUCCUACGAUUCUUCCGACAAGAAUUUGAUCUUCAAGAGGAGGACAUCGCAAUGAUCCUAGCUAUGCACGUCAAUAAAAAGCCGAAGCAUGGUGGUUCGAUUAUCGAUCGUCAGAAAUCGUGGAGGGAUAGGAUCGAUGCACACAACAGAUUGAUGAGAAACUAUUUUGUGGAGAAUCCCACAUACCUCGAGUCCUACUUUUGGCGUAGUUUUAGGAUGAGCAUCGAGUUGUUCAAACACAUUGCGGAGAAACUAGCGAGCCAUGAUCUAUUUUUUCAGCAAAGGAGGAAUGUCGCCGGAGAAAUCGGGCCUAGCACCUUUCAAAAGGUGACCGCCGCUUUGCAUAUGUUGGCAUAAGGUAUUCCGGCAGAUCUAGUUGAUGUCCACUUGGCCAUGGUGAGAGUCAAGUCAUCAUGUGUGUCAAGCGCUUCGCAGUCGGAAUUGUGCAAGUGUUUGGUCUGAAAUAUUUGAGAGCUCCCAAUGCUGAAGACACCGCAAGGCUUUUGGAGAUGAACAAAGCUCGCGGGUUCCAGGUAUGCUUGGCUCAAUAGAUUGCAUGCAUUGAAGUUGGAAGGACUGUCCUAAGGCAUGUUAUGGACAAUUCCACGCCUAGAAAAAGGGUUUCACUAUAAUCCUUGAACGGUGGCCGAUCAGGAGACUUGGAUUGGCAUGUUUUUUUUUUUGAAAUGCCUGGAUCUUGCAAUGACGUCAAUGUUCUUAAUUUGUCACCACCCAUGAAUAUGAUUGCAAAUGGUGAAACUCCACCGGUGGAGUUUGUACCAAAUGAUCAUACACACAACUGUGGCUACUAUUUUCGGAUGGCAUCUAUCCAAGGUGGCAACAUUUGUGAAGCCGUUUGACGGCACUGCAAGGUAAGAAAAGUCUUGAUUUUUACAAUGCUCAGACAACGGCUAGGAAAGAUGUGGGGAGAGCUUUUGGGAUUUUGCAAGCCCAAUUUGCUAUUAUGAGAGAACCUGCUAGAUAUUGGGAUCAAAAGAUUCUUUGGUACUUCAUGAACGCGUAUGUGUUCAUGCAUAACAUGAUCAUUGAAAAUGAGCGUGGGCAAGAUUUAGACUAUUCUCAGUAUGAGUUGUUGGGACGUCCUGUGCGAGCGCGGAGGAGAAUUGUGAUGGUGGCCCGCUUUAUUGCCUCCUAUCAUGCCAUUCGACGUGCCGAACACAUGAUGAUCUUCAAAAGAAUCCAAUCGAGGAGUGGUGGGCAUGGAAUGGGCGACAAAAUUAGUUUGAUGUUGUAUGUUUAUUGUAUUAGAAAAUAAAUUAUUUGUUUGAGUUGUAAUAAUAAUUAAAAUAUUUAUUGUUAAUUUAUUUUAUGUGUGUUUGAUCUUCUUGGUUCUAUAUUCAAUGGGAAAUGUUGUUAGUGCUAGGCGCGCAUUGUAAUUUAGCGCCCCUGUUGGAGUGCCAUAUGCGGCCCAUAAUAUAUAGCGCUUCUGCUGAAGCAAACAUCCUCCUGCGCACGCUAAAACGCUAUUUCAGCGUUGCAAAAAAAUUUAACGCGUAACGCAACCGCGCGUGCGUUGGAGAUGGUCUAACCACAUGUACUGUAUCAAAGCUAUUGCCUAUACAUCGCUUCACCUCGUCGAAUAGCAAGCCCCGCCGCCGCCAUCGGCCACACAGGCAAACCCGACGGCGAUGGCAACAACGAUGGGAGGACACUUGGGCAGAGGCUCGGCGAAAAAUUGAUAUGCAGGCCGCCCAUAUCGCCCACGUGGACGACGCGGGGCAACUCAGUUGGUAUAUGUCGUCCUUUUACAUACUCUGUUCUUGGCUUCUUUCUCGUUUAUUUUUUUAAAGGAACAUGCUUGUUCAUUACUCCCUCCAUUCCACAAUGUAGUGCUUCCUCUAUCUACGUGCUUCAACUUUGACCGUAAAUUUAACUAUCAAGACCGAUUGCGGCGGGAGCAAAAAUUAUAUCAGUGAAUUCGUAUUCGAAAGAAGUUUUCAAUUAUAUAAUUUUUUUCUUCCGCCGCAGUUGGUCUUGUUGGUUAAAUUUACGGUCAAAGUUGGACCUCGAGAAGCGCGGACGCACUAUAUUUUAGAAUGGAGGGAGUAUACUAUAUACCAGUGCUGAACAGAUAUCCAGCUACGCGGUCAUUUACAAAAUCUGGAAACUGGCCAAGCCAAGUCUCACAUGUGCCAGCUUCCAAUUUAGCACCAUGUGCUGCUAAACAGUGCGGUAUAGUAUUACUCCCUCUGUUCCUAAAUAAUUGUCUUUCUAGAGAUUUCAAUAAGUGACUACAUACGAAGCAAAAUGAAUGAAUCUACACUCUAAAACAUGUCUACAUACAUCCGUAUGUUGUAGUCUAUUUGAGAUGGCUAGAAAGACAAUUAUUUGAACGGAGGGAGUACAAACUCUGGGACAUGAUACAACAGAUACUUCACUAAAUCCCACACGCAAUUGAAACGUGAUGUCUUUGAAAACAGCUCCCAGAGUCGACAUAUCAUAUUCUUCAGUGCAAAUUGUGUUCUUGAGCUGUACAGAGUCCAUCUCCAUAAUUACUCGAUUACUCCCUCCGUUCCUAAAUAUUUGUCUUUUUAGAGAUUUCAAAUGGACUACCACAUACGGAUGUAUAUAAACAUAUUUUAGAGUGUAGAUUCACUCAUUUUGCUCCGUAUGUAGUCACUUGUUGAAAUCUUUAGAAAGAUAAAUAUUUAGGAACAGAAGGAGUACAUCCCAUUUGAAUGGCUGUGUUUAUGGCAUAAAGCAUCGCCAAAGCCUCCGAAUGAAGCACAUCUGAGACUCGCUCCAGACUACCUGCUCCAGCAGCCAUCAACAUACCACAAUCAUCCCUGAUUACUAAGCCCCAUCCUCCAUUUUUUGUUUCUUUCAGAAAUUCACCAUCCAUAUUGAUUUUCAAGAUUUCUGGUGGAGGCAUGGACCAUCUUUCCUUUUGUUGUUGCUUUGGCAUUCCUCCUACUUUUCCAACCUUAAGAAUCUGCAUAAAAAGAUAAUUAAUGGAGUGACAGAUUUCAUCAAGAUAAUUAAUGGAGUGACAGAUUUCAUCAGAGGAUCUAAUAUUUUCUCCUGCAUUUACUUUAUUCCUUUCAAGCCACCAACACCAAAGGAGUAGGCAAGAUUUUUAAGUUUUUCUUCUUCGUUAAGGUUCAUAAUUAUUUCCAUACAUCCCAAAGCAUCUGCACAAGACAAAAUCUGCACUCUAACAUGCUCCAGCUAAGCUUUCCUCCACACAUCCUUAACCUUCUUGCACUUAAUGAAACAAUGUCGCCAUCCUCAUCUAACCGAAAACAAACAGGGCAACGGGUAUCUACUUGCAUACCUCUGUCCUGAAGCUUCAUGCGCAAAGGUAGGCUAUCUGUAGACAUGCGCCACAGGAAGUGAAGAAUCUUAUUUGGAAGAGGAGGCGACCACAACUUUGACCAAUUAAAAUCACCUGUUUCUUCAUCUGCACUGGAGGAGGAAGUUAAUCCUGAAAUGGAUUCUCGAGCCGCACUAUCUACAACAACUCUAUAUGCAGAUUUAACUGAAAAUAUACCUUUUUUUAUCAUAAUGUCAUGCUAUGAAAUCAUCGUUAUGUUCAUGAAUUGGGAUUUGUAAAAUGAUUUCCGCAUCUUCUGGAAGAAAGGUUUGUCUAACUAACUCUCCAUCCCAAUUGUUUGUGCUAGGAUCAAGCAGAUCUUUUACUUUGGUUAUAAUGCUUUUACCCCUAUGAGUGACGACUCUUCUGGUGGUACCUCUCAGAAUCCAAGGGUCAGACCAAAUGUCAAUGUUAUUGCCACUACCAACUCUCCAUAUGAUCCCCUUCUUGAGCAGAUUUACCCCUUUUAGUAUACUACGCCAUGUGUAGGAGAUGCAAACUUUGGGCCUAGCCUGAAGAAUUGAGCCAUUUGGGUAAUACCGUGCGCACAAAUAUGUUGGGUUAUGGAUAAGCCUCCAUGCCUGCCCUGCAAGUAUCGCUAGGUUGAAAGCGUGAAGGUCCCUAAAGCCCAUUCCUCCAGUUUUUUGUCUUCGUCAAUUUCUCCCAACUGACCCAGUGAAUUUUAUUCUCCUUAUCCAUUUGGCUCCACCAAUAUCUAUUGAUCAUUGAGCUCAGUUUAUCACAGAGUGACUUGAUUAAGUCAAAGCAAGCCAUUGAGUACACUGGGAUUGCUUGUGCUAUGAUACGUCUCCGUCGUAUCUAUAAUUUUUGAUUGUUUCAUGCCAAUAUUAUUCAACUUUCAUAUACUUUUGGCAACUUUUUAUACUAUUUUUUUAGGACUAACAUAUUGAUCCAGUGCUCAGUGCCAGUUCCUGCUUGUUGCAUGUUUUAUGUUUCGCACAAAACCCAUAUCAAACGGAGUCCAAACGGGAUAAAAACGGACGGAGAAUUAUUUUGGAAUAUUUGUGAUUUUUGGGAAGUAAAAUCAACGUGAUGUUGGAAAUAUGCCCUAGAGGCAAUAAUAAAUUAGUUAUUAUUAUAUUUCCUUGUUCAUGAUAAUCUUUUAUUAUCCAUGCUAUAAUUGUAUUGAUAGGAAACUCAGAUACAUGUGUGGAUACAUAGACAACACCAUGUCCCUAGUAAGCCUCUAGUUGACUAGCUCGUUAAUCAAUAGAUGGUUACGGUUUCCUGACCAUGGACAUUGGAUGUCGUUGAUAACGGGAUCACAUCAUUAGGAGAAUGAUGUGAUGGACAAGACCCAAUCCUAAGCCUAGCACAAGAUCAUGUAGUUCGUAUGCUAAAGCUUUUCUAAAUGUCAAGUAUCAUUUCCUUAGACCAUGAGAUUGUGCAACUCCCGGAUACCGUAGGAGUGCUUUGGGUGUGCCAAACGUCACAACGUAACUGGGUGGCUAUAAAGGUACACUACGGGUAUCCCUGAAAGUGUCUGUUGGGUUGGCACGAAUCGAGAUUGGGAUUUGUCACUCCGUGUAAACGGAGAGGUAUCUCUGGGCCCACUCGGUAGGACAUCAUCAUAAUGUGCACAAUGUGACCAAGGGGUUGAUCACGGGAUGAUGUGUUACGGAACGAGUAAAAGAGACUUGCCGGUAACGAGAUUGAACAAGGUAUCGGUAUACCGACGAUCGAAUCUCGGGCAAGUACCAUACCGCUAGACAAAGGGAAUUGUAUACGGGAUUGAUUGAGUCCUUGACAUCGUGGUUCAUCCGAUGAGAUCAUCGUGGAACAUGUGGGAGCCAACAUGGGUAUCCAGAUCCCGCUGUUGGUUAUUGACCGGAGAACAUCUCGGUCAUGACUACAUGUCUCCCGAACCCGUAGGGUCUACACACUUAAGGUUCGAUGAUGCUAGGGUUAUAAAGGAAGUUUGUAUGUGAUUACCGAAUAUUGUUCGGAGUUCCGGAUGAGAUCCCGGACGUCACGAGGAGUUCUGGAAUGGCCCGGAGGUAAAGAUUUAUAUAUAGGAAGUCCUGUUUCGGCCAUUGGGACAAGUUUCGGGGUCGUCGGUAUUGUACCGGGACCACCGGAAGGGUCCCAAGGGCCCACCGGGUGGGGCCACAUGGGCUGUAGGGGGUGCGCCUUGGCCUACAUGGGCCAAGGGCACCAGCCCCUAGAGGCCCAUGCGCCAAGAGUGGAGGAAAAGGGGAGAGUCCUAAAGGGGGAAGGCACCUCCGAGGUGCCUUGGGGAGGAUGGACUCCUCCCCCCCUCUUGGCCGCACCCCUUCCUUGGAGGAAGGGGCAAGGCUGCGCCUCCCCCCUCUCCCUUGCCCCUAUAUAUAGUGGAGGGGAGGGAGGGCAUCCAUACCUGAGCCCCUGGCGCCUCCCUCCCUCCCGUGACACCUCCUCCUCUCCCGUAGGUGCUUGGCGAAGCCCUGCAAGAUUGCCACGCUCCUCCAUCACCACCACGCCGUUGUGCUGCUGCUGGAUGGAGUCUUCCUCAACCUCUCCCUCUCUCCUUGCUGGAUCAAGGCGUGGGAGACAUCGUCGAGCUGUACGUGUGUUGAACGCGGAGGUGCCGUCCGUUCGGCACUAAGAUCAUCGGUGAUUUGAAUCACGACGAGUACGACUCCAUCAACCCUGUUCACUUGAACGCUUCCGCUUAGCGAUCUACAAGGGUAUGUAGAUGCAUUCUCCUUCCCCUCGUUGCUGGUCUCUCCAUAGAUAGAUCUUGGUGACACGUAGGAAAAUUUUGAAUUUCUGCUACGUUCCCCAACAGUGGCAUCAUGAGCUAGGUCUAUUGCGUAGAUUCUAUGCACGAGUAGAACACAAAGUAGUUGUGGGCGUUGAUUUUGUUCAAUAUGCUUGCCGUUACUAGUCUUAUCUUGAUUCGGCGGCAUCGUGGGAUGAAGCGGCCCGGACCAACCUUACACGUACUCUUAUGUGAGACCGGUUCCACCGACAAACAUGCACUAGUUGCAUAAGGUGGCUGGCGGGUGUCUGUCUCUCCCACUUUAGUCGGAUCGGAUUCGAUGAAAAGGGUCCUCAUGAAGGGUAAAUAGCAAUUGGCAUAUCACGUUGUGGUUCAUGCGUAGGUAAGAAACGUUCUUGCUAGAAACCCAUAGCAGCCACGUAAAACAUGCAAACAACAAUUAGAGGACGUCUAACUUGUUUUUGCAGGGUAUGCUAUGUGAUGUGAUAUGGCCAAAGGAUGUGAUGAAUGAUAUAUGUGAUGUAUGAGAUUGAUCAUGUUCUUGUAAUAGGAAUCACGACUUGCAUGUCGAUGAGUAUGACAACCGGCAGGAGCCAUAGGAGUUGUCUUAAUUUAUUUGUGACCUGCGUGUCAACUUAAACGUCAUGUAAUUACUUUACUUUAUUGCUAACCGUUAGCCAUAGUAGUAGAAGUAAUAGUUGGCGAGGCAACUUCAUGAAGACACGAUGAUGGAGAUCAUGAUGAUGGAGAUCAUGGUGUCAUGCCGGUGACGAUGAUGAUCAUGGAGCCCCGAAGAUGGAGAUCAAAAGGAGCAAAGUGAUGAUGGCCAUAUCAUGUCACUAUUUGAUUGCAUGUGAUGUUUAUCAUGUUUAUACAUCUUAUUUGCUUAGAAUGACGGUAGUAAAUAAGAUGAUCCCUUACAACAAUUUCAAGAAGUGUUCUCCCCUAACUGUGCACCGUUGCGACAGUUCGUGUUUCGAAGCACCACGUGAUGAUCGGGUGUUAGAUUAUAACGUUCACAUACAACGGGUGUAAGACAGAUUUACACACGCGAAAUACUUAGGGUUAACUUGACGAGCCUAGCAUGUACAGACAUGGCCUCGGAACACGGAGACCGAAAGGUCGAGCAUGAGUCGUAUAGAAGAUACGAUCAACAUGAAGAUGUUCACCGAUGAUGACUAGUCCGUCUCACGUGAUGAUCGGACACGGCCUAGUUUGACUCGGAUCAUGUAAUCACUUAGAUGACUAGAGGGAUGUCUAUCUGAGUGGGAGUUCAUAAGAUGAACUUAAUUAUCCUGAACAUAGUCAAAAGGAUUUUGCAAAUUAUGUCGUAGCUCACGCUAUAGUUCUACUGUUUAGAUAUGUUCCUAGAGAAAAAUUAGUUGAAAGUUGAUAGUAGCAAUUAUGCGGACUAGGUCCGUAAACUGAGGAUUGUCCUCAUUGCUUCAUAGAAGGCUUAUGUCCUUAAUGCACCGCUCAGUGUGCUGAACCUCGAACGUUGUCUGUGGUUGUUGCGAACAUCUGACAUACACGUUUUGAUAACUACGUGAUAGUUCAGUUAAACGGUUUAGAGUUGAGGCACCAAAGACGUUUUUGAAACGUCGCGAAACAUAUGAGAUGUUUUGAGGGCUGAAAUUGGGAUUUCAGGCUCGUGCCCAUGUCAAGAGGUAUAAGACCUCCAAUGACUUUCUUAACCUGCAAACUAAGGAGAAAAGCUCAAUUGUUGUGCUUGUGCUCAGAUUGUCUGAGUACAACAAUCGCUUGAAUCGAGUGGGAGUUGAUCUUCCAGAUAAGACAGUGAUGGUUCUCCGAAGUCAUUACCACCAAGCUGCUAGAGCUUCGUGAUGAACUAUAAUAUAUCAGGGACAUAUAUGAUGAUCCUUGAGAUACUCGCGAUGUUUGACACCGCGAAAGUAGAAAUCAAGAAGGAGCAUCAAUUGUUGAUGGUUGGUGAAACCACUAGUUUCAAGAAGGGCAAGGGAACAAAGGGAUACUUCAUGAAACGGCAAUUCAGCUGCUGCUCUGGUGAAGAAACCCAAGGUUGAACCCAAACCCGAGACUAAGUGCUUCUGUAAUAAGGGGAACAACCACUGGAGCAGAAUUACCCUAGAUACUUGGUAGAUGAGAAGGCUGGCAAGGUCGAUAGAAGUAUAUUGGAUAUACAUUAUGUUGAUGUGUACUUUACUAGUACUCCUAGUAGCACCAGGGUAUUAAGAUACCGGUUCGGUUGCUAAGUGUUAGUAACUCGAAACAAAAGGCUACGGAAUAAACGGAGACUAGCUAAAGGUGAGCUGACGAUAUGUGUUGGAAGUUUUUCCAAGCUUGAUAUGAUCAAGCAUCGCACGCUCCCUCUACCAAAGAGAUUGGUGUUAAACCUAAAUAAUUGUUAUUUGGUGUUUGCGUUGAGCAUAGACAUGAUUGGAUUACGUCUAUCGCAAUACGGUUAUUCAUUUAAGGAGAAUAAUGGUUACUCUGUUUAUUUGAAUAAUACCUUCAAUGGUCUUACACCUAAAAUGAAUGGUUUAUUAAAUCUCGAUCGUAGUGAUACACAUGUUCAUGCCAAAAGAUAGUAAUGAUAGUACCACCUACUUGUGGCACUGCCACGUAAGUCAUAUCGGUAUAAAACGCAUGAAGAAGCUCCAUGUUGAUGGAUCUUUGGACUCACUCGUUUUUGAAAAGUUUGAGACAUGCGAACCAUGUCUAUUGGUGUAUAUGCAUGAAGAAACUCCAUGCAAAUGGACCGUUUGGACUCACUUGAUUUUGAAUCACUUGAGAUAUGCAAAUCAUACCACAUGGGCAAGAUGACUGGAAAAGCCUCGUUUUCAGUAAGAUGGAACAAGAUAGCAACUUGUUGGAAGUAACACAUUUUGAUGUGUGCAGUCCAAUGAGUGCUGAGGCAUGCAGUGAAUAUCGUUAUGUUCUUACUUCACAGAUGAUUCGAGUAGAUGUUGAGUAUAUUUACUUGAUGAAUCACGAGUCUGAAUUAUUGAAAGGUUCAAGUAAUUUCAGUGUGAAGUUGAAAGAUCGUCGUGACAAGAGGAUAAAAGAUCUAUGAUAUGAUCAUAGAGAUGAAUAUCUGAAUCACGAGUUUGGCACAGAAUUAAGACAUUGUGGAAAUUGUUUCACAACUGAUACAGCCUGGAACACCAUAGUGUGAUGGUGUGUCCGAACGUCAUAGUUGCACCCUAUUGGAUAUGGUGCAUACCAUGAUGUCUCUUAUCGAGUUAUCACUAUCGUUCAUGGGUUAGGCAUUAGAGACAACCACAUUCACUUUAAAUAGGGCACCACAUAAUUUCGUUGAGACGACACCGUAUGAAUUAUGGUUUAGAGAAACCUAAGCUGUCAUUUCUUAGAAGUUUGGGGCUGCGAUGCUUAUGUGGAAAAGUUUCAGGCUGAUAAGCUCGAACCCAAAGCGGAUAAAAUGCAUCUUCAUAGGACACCCAAAAACAGUUGGGUAUACCUCCUAAUUCAGAUCCGGAAGCAAUAGGGAUUGUUUCUUGAAUCGGGUCCUUUCUCGAGGAAAAGUUUCUCUCAAAAGAAUUGAGUGGGAGGAUGGUGGAGACUUGAUGAGGUUAUUGAACCGUCACUUCAACAAGUGUGUAGCAGGGCACAGGAAGUUGUUCCUGUGGCACGUACACCAACUGAAGUGGAAGCUUAUGAUAAUGAUCAUGAAACUUCGGAUCAAGUCACUACCAAACCUCGUGGGAUGACAAGGAUGCGUACUACUUCAGAGUGGUACGUAAUCCUGUCUUGGAAGUCAUGUUGCUAGACAACAAUGAACCUACGAGCUAUGGAGAAGCGAUGGUGGGCCCAAAUUCCGACAAAUGGUUAGAAGCCAUAAAAUUUGAGAUAGGAUCCAUGUAUGAAAACAAAGUGUAGACUUUGGAAGAACUACUUGAUGGUCGUAAGGCUAUUAGGUACAUAUGGAUUUUGAAAGGAAGACAGACAAUGAUGGUAAGUGUCACCAUUGAGAAAGCUCGACUUGUCAUUAAGAUGUUUUUCGACAAGUUCAAGGAGUUGACUACGAUGAGACUUUCUCACUCGUAGCGAUGCUAAGAGUCUGUUGGAAUUAUAUUAGCAAUUACUGCAUUAUUUAUGAAAUCUUGCAGAUAGGAUGUCAAAACAUUGUUUCCUCGACGAUUUUUGAGGAAAGGUUGUAUGUGAUACAACCGGAAGGUUUUGUCUAUCCUGAAAUAUGCUAAUAAGUAUGCAAAGCUGCAGCAAUCCUUCUGAGGACUGGAGUGAGCAUCUCGGAGUUGGAAUGUAUGCUUUGAUGAUGAUCAAAGAUUUUGGGUGUAUACAAAGUUUAUGAGAAACUUGUAUUUCCAAAGAAGUAAGUGGGAGCACUAUAGAAUUUCUGAUAAGUAUAUGUUGUUGACAUAUUGUUGAUCAGAAAUGAUGUAGAAUUUCUGGAAAGCAUAUAGGGUUAUUUGAAAGGUGUUUUUCAAUGGAAAGCCUGGAUUAAGCUACUUGAACAUUGAGCAUCAAGAUCUAUAAGGAUAGAUCAAAACGCUUAAUGGUACUUUCAAAUGAGCACAUACCUUGACAUGAUCUUGAAGGUGUUCAAGAUGGAUCAGUCAAAGAAGGAGUUCUUGCCUGAGUUGUAAGGUAUGAAGUUAAGACUUAAAGCUCGACCACGGCAGAAUAGAGAGAAAGGACAAAGGUCGUCCCCUAUGCUUAAGACGUAGGCUCUACAAUAUGCUAUGCUGUGUACUGCACCUGAAGUGUGCCUUGCCAUGAGUCAGUCAAGGGGUACAAGAGUGAUCCAAGAAUGGAUCACGGGACAGCGGUCAAAGUUAUCCUUAGUAACUAGUGGACUAAGGAAUUUUCUCGAUUAUGGAGGUGGUAAAGGGGUUCGUCGUAAAGGGUUACGUCGAUGCAAGCUUAACACCUAUCCGGAUAGCUCUGAGUAGAGAUACCGGAUACGUAUAAUGGAGCAACAAUUUAGAAUAGCUCCAAGUAGAACAGUUAUUUGGAAUAGCUCCAAAUAGAGCGUGGUAGCUGCAUCUAGGAGAUGACAUAGAGAUUUGUAAAGCACACACGGAUCUGAAAGGUUCAGACCCGUUGACUAUAACCUCUCUCACAAGCAUAACAUGAUCAAACCAAGAACUCAUUGAGUGUUAAUCACAUAGUGAUGUGAGCUAGACUACUGACUCUAGUAAACUCUUGGGUGUUAGUCACAUGGCGAUGUGACCUGUGAGUGUUAAUCACAUGGGGAUGUGAACUAGAUUAUUGACUCUAGUGCAAGUGGGAGACUGUUGGAAAUAUGCCCUAGAGGCAAUAAUAAAUUAGUUAUUAUUAUAUUUCCUUGUUCAUGAUAAUCUUUUAUUAUCCAUGCUAUAAUUGUAUUGAUAGGAAAGUCAGAUACAUGUGUGGAUACAUAGACAACACCAUGUCCCUAGUAAGCCUCUAGUUGACUAGCUCGUUAAUCAAUAGAUGGUUACGGUUUCCUGACCAUGGACAUUGGAUGUCGUUGAUAACGGGAUCACAUCAUUAGGAGAAUGAUGUGAUGGACAAGACCCAAUCCUAAGCCUAGCACAAGAUCAUGUAGUUCGUAUGCUAAAGCUUUUCUAAAUGUCAAGUAUCAUUUCCUUAGACCAUGAGAUUGUGCAACUCCCGGAUACCGUAGGAGUGCUUUGGGUGUGCCAAACGUCACAACGUAACUGGGUGGCUAUAAAGGUACACUACGGGUAUCUCUGAAAGUGUCUGUUGGGUUGGCACGAAUCGAGAUUGGGAUUUGUCACUCCGUGUAAACGGAGAGGUAUCUCUGGGCCCACUCGGUAGGACAUCAUCAUAAUGUGCACAAUGUGACCAAGGGGUUGAUCACGGGAUGAUGUGUUACAGAACGAGUAAAAGAGACUUGCCGGUAACGAGAUUGAACAAGGUAUCGGUAUACCGACGAUCAAAUCUCGGGCAAGUACCAUACCGCUAGACAAAGGGAAUUGUAUACGGGAUUGAUUGAGUCCUUGACAUCGUGGUUCAUCCGAUGAGAUCAUCGUGGAACAUGUGGGAGCCAACAUGGGUAUCCAGAUCCCGCUGUUGGUUAUUGACCGGAGAACAUCUCGGUCAUGACUACAUGUCUCCCAAACCCGUAGGGUCUACACACUUAAGGUUCGAUGACGCUAGGGUUAUAAAGGAAGUUUGUAUGUGGUUACCGAAUGUUGUUCGGAGUCCCGGAUGAGAUCCCGGACGUCACGAGGAGUUCCGGAAUGGUCCGGAGGUAAAGAUUUAUAUAUAGGAAGUCCUGUUUCGGCCAUUGGGACAAGUUUUGGGGUCAUCGGUAUUGUACCGGGACCACCGGAAGGGUCCCGGGGGCCCACCGGGUGGGGCCACCUGCCCCGGGGGGCCACAUGGGCUGUAGGGGGUGCGCCUUGGCCUACAUGGGCCAGGGGCACCAGCCCCUAGAGGCCCAUGCGCCAAGAGUGGAGGAAAAGGGGAGAGUCCUAAAGGGAGAAGGCACCUCCGAGGUGCCUUGGGGAGGAUGGACUCCUCCCCCCUCUUGGCCGCACCCCUUCCUUGGAGGAAGGGGCAAGGCUGCGCCUCCCCCCUCUCCCUUGCCCCUAUAUAUAGUGGAGGGGAGGGAGGGCAUCCAUACUCAAGCCCCUGGCGCCUCCCUCCCUCCCUUGACACCUCCUCCUCUCCCGUAGGUGCUUGGCGAAGCCCUGCAAGAUUGCCACGCUCCUCCAUCACCACCACGCCGUUGUGCUGCUGCUGGAUGGAGUCUUACUCAACCUCUCCCUCUCUCCUUGCUGGAUCAAGGCGUGGGAGACAUCGUCGAGCUGUACGUGUGUUGAACGCGGAGGUGCCGUCCGUUCGGCACUAAGAUCAUCGGUGAUUUGAAUCACGACGAGUACGACUCCAUCAACCCCGUUCACUUGAACGCUUCCGCUUAGCGAUCUACAAGGGUAUGUAGAUGCACUCUCCUUCCCCUCGUUGCUGGUCUCUCCAUAGAUAGAUCUUGGUGACACGUAGGAAAAUUUUGAAUUUCUGCUACGUUCCCCAACACGUGAGAUGAUGCCCGAGGGGGCCACGAGACAGGGGGCGCGCCCUGGACUCUCCUGGGCACCCCGUAAGGCGGUUGACGCUCUUCUUUUGCCUCAAGAAAGCUAAUUUUAUGAGAAAAAUCUGGGUGAAAGAUUCACCCCAAUCGGAGUUACGGAUCUCCGGAUAUUAAAGAAACGGUGAGAGUGCAGAAUCAGGGAACGCAGAAACAGAGAGAGACAGAGAGAUAGAUCCAAUCUCGGAGGGGCUCUCGCCCCUCCCACGCCAUGGGAGCCAAGGACCAGAGGGGAAAUCCUUCUCCCAUCUAGGGAGGAGGUCAAGGAAUAAGAACAAGAAGGGGGGCCCUCUCCCCCUUGCUUCCGGUGGCGCCGGAGCGCUGCCGGGGGCCAUCAUCAUCACCGCAAUCUUCACCAACACCUCCGCCAUAUUCACCAACAUCUCCAUCAUCUUCCCCCAUCUAUAUUCAGCGGUCCACUCUCCCGCAACCUAUUGUACCCUCUACUUGAACAUGGUGCUUUAUGCUUCAUAUUAUUAUCCAAUGAUGUGUUACCAUCCUAUGAUGUCUGAGUAGAUUUUCGUUGUCCUAUCUGUGAUUGAUGAAUUGCUAUGAUUGGUUUGAAUUGCAUGCUUUAUUAUUGGUGCUGUCCUAUUGUGCCCUCUGUGUCGCGCAAGCGUGAGGGAUUCCCGCUGUAGGGUUUGCAAUAUGUUCAUGAUUUGCUUAUGGUGGGUGGCAUGAGUGACAGAAGCACAGACCCGAGUAAGUAGGUUGUUUGCGUAUGGGAUAAAGGGGACUUGAUACAUUAAUGCUAUGGUUGGGUUUUACCUUAAUGAUCUUUAGUAGUUGCGGAUGCUUGCUAGAGUUCCAAUCAUAAGUGCAUAUGAUCCAAGAAGAGAAAGUAUGUUAGCUUAUGCCUCUCCCUCAAAUAGAAUUGCAAUAGUGAUUAUCGGUCUAGUAAAGUAGUCAAUUGCUUAGGGACAAUUUCACAACUCCUACCACCACUUUUCCACACUCGCUAUAUUUACUUUAUUGCAUCUUUAUCUAAACAACCCCUACUUUUCAUUUACGUGUUCUUUAUUAUCUUGCAAACCUACCCAACAACACCUACAAAGUACUUCUAGUUUCGUACUUGUUUUACGUAAAGUGAACACAAAGAGUGUGUAGAGUUGUAUCAGUGGCAGAUAGGGCUUGAGGAAUAUUUGUUCUACCUUUAGCUCCCCGUUGGGUUCGACACUCUUACUUAUCGAAAGAGGCUACAAUUAUCCCGUAUACUUGCGGGUUAUCAUGCUACAACUUUUAUGAGAAUUUCUUUCCCUCCUUUCGAAAGGAGUCUUUCCUUCCAACCUUGAAUCUUCUUCCAAACUCUCUCCUUUAUAUAUUCAAAGGUUCUUUUUUUGGCUUUACCCACAUAGUACGGAACACCUAAAUAUUUAGAGGGUAGACCUUUCCGGGUGAUCUGCAAGAUGCUUCUCAUCUCCUCCUUCAACUCCUGCCUGGUGUUUGCACUGAACAUUGUUGAUGAUUUUUCCUUGUUAAUCAUUUGACCUGAAAAUGGUUCAUAAUUAUUCAGAAUUCUAUUGAUUUCCUGUGCACUUUCAGCUUUGGCCUCCAUGAUCAGCAAUGAAUCACCUGCAAAAAGCAGAUGACUAACACUGGGAGCUUUCCUACAAAUCUUAAUUCCGGUCAAUAACCCUCUCAUCUCAGCUUCAUGUAACAUGGAGGCGAACCCCUCUGCACAAAUGAGAAAUAAAUAUGGAGAGAGUGGGUCUCCUUGCCUCAAGGCUCUUUGGGGUAUGACCAUACCUGCUGUAUCUUGGUUCACCUUAAUCUGAUACUUGAUAGUAGAGAUGCAUUGCAUUAUCAAUUUAACCCAACUCAUGUCAAAGCCCAUUCUACACAUCACAUCCCUUAAGAACGUCCAUUCCACACGGUUAUAGGAUUUGCUCAUGUCGAGUUUUAUAGCUGCAUAGCAUGUUGAGCCUCUUUUUCUUCUUUGCAAGAAAUGUGUUAAUUCAUACGCGAAAAGAAUAUUAUCAGAUAUUAAUCUCUUGGGCACAAAGGCACUCUAAUUAGGGGAGAUGAUAUCUGGGAGAAUUACUUUGAGCCUGUUGGUAACUACCUUGGAGACUAUCUUAUACACCACAUUACAUAGGCUAAUUGGUCUCAGGUCCUUCAUGCUUGUCGGGUUGGUAUUCUUUGGGAUUAGCACUAUUAGUGUAUCGUUCCACCUUUCAGGCAUCCCCCUCUCAAUAUCUGAAGAACCUCUUUAGUUAUCUGAUUCUCAGCAAUUUUCCAGAAUCUUUUGAAAAAUAUGGCCGGCAUACCAUCGGGUCCUGGGGCUUUCAAAUCGUCGAUGCUAUCCAAGGCUCUUUUUACCUCCUCUUUUGCAUAGUCAUCCCUUAAUACUUCAUUCAUCUCCUUCGUUACCCUUGGCUGAAUCGUACUCAAUAUUUCCUCAUUAUUGUUUCCUGAAGUGGAGGUGAAGAUAUUAAAGAAAUAGUUUGUAAUGUGUUCUUUUAACGGUUCUUCCCCCUCCACCCAGCUACUGUCCUCCCUUUUCAGUCUCUUGGUGGUAUUCCUUCUCUUUCUCUCAGAGGCGAAAGCAUGAAGCAAAUGAUGUGUUCUUAUCCCCAUCCUUUAGCCAUUUAACACAUGCUUGUUGUUUCCAGUGCAGUUCUUUUUGUUGUUCCAAAUGAUCUAACUUCUCCCUUAACACAUGCUCUCUUCUAACCCUUUAUUGGUUGAUUUCCCCUCUGUGUAUUCCAUCUAGUUCGUUCUUCAAAAUUUUGAUCCUUUUCCCAAGUUCACCUAAUACAUUAUUAUCCCAGUCCUUCAACUCCCCUGCUAUUUUGUGCAACAGUUCUUUGAUAUUCUGGUCACCUUGCAAUCCAGCAUUGGCCCAAGCAUUAUUAACCACCAACUCAUAGUCCUCUUCCUACAACCAUCUGGCUUCAAACCUGAAAUUGUGAGCCUUUCCCCUGAACAAACUAGCCCUCUCAGAUUCUUCCAUGUGGAUAAUAAUAGGCCUAUGGUCUGAACGGUAUGGGUCUCCAUUCAGAACUUUGUAGUGAGGAAAUCUUGCACACCAACUCCUCGAACCCACUACUCUAUCAAGUCUUUCUUUAACAAAUCGGUCUGCAUCCCAGCUAUGAUUCCGCCACGUGUAUUUAUCCCCCACAUAGCCCAAAUCUUUUAAUCUGCAUUCUGUGAGGGCCUCUCUAAAACUUUCCAUUUGACUAUGCGCUCUACCUGCCACCCUUCUUUUCAUGACUAUACAUGAUCUCGUUAAAAUCGUCGGUGCAUAACCAUGGAAAUUUAAGCUGCUGAUUGAGGAUGCACAAUAACUUCCAAGUUAUUUUCUUUUUAUCACUUGCGGUCUCUCCACAAAUGCCCGUGAAACGCCACCUAAAACCAUCUUUCUCCACUACGUUUACAUCAAUAUGAUACUUGGAGUAGUUGUGCAGCUCCAAGUUUACUUCUUUCUUCCAAAGUAAUGCCAACCCUCCGCUCUUUCUUUCACAGUCCCUUGCCAUCAUGUUCCCCAUUCCUAACUUCCACUUAAGCUUCUCCAUCCUCCCUUUAUCCAGUUUAGUUUCAGAUAAGAAGAUGAUGCCAGGAUCCACCUGCUUCCGGAGGUCCAGAAGCCCUCUCACUGUCGGGCCAUUCCCCAAUCCCCGGGAGUUCCAUGCUAAAAUCUUCAUUUUGGCUCGCCAGGAUCUCCCUGCAGCCCAGCGUUUAUAGUUCCUAAGAUAUUGUUCCCUUUGUUUACUUCGGCUUCGUCAACCUCCAUCUUCGCUUUCUUCGCUAAUUCUGUCGCCUCAUCUACAUCCAUUAUAUCAACCUUUCUCUUAUUCGAAUCUGCCCUAUUUAAUUGUUUUUGUUGGAUCCCUUCCUUCUUCAUUCGCCUGAAAGUACCUUGCUUUGUACUUUUCCUAGCCUUAUAAACAUUAUUUUAUGUUUUGUUAAGGAGCACUUCCUUCUCAUAAACCAAGGUAUCCUUCAAUGACCCUUCUGCGUCAUGCCUCAUUAUUGUAUUAUUGAUGUUCCUUCCUUCAAAUUCACUCAGAUCGUCCUCUAUUUUUUGUCCCUCUCUAAAAGGGCUUUCACCGAUUAUCCACUCAAAAAUAAUCCUUUCCCCUCCAUUGUUCCUUUGUAUUCAUUCUGUUUUUUCUUGUGGGGACUUAUCACUUCUUUACCAUCACCCUUUUCUGGCCCUUCAUCAUAGUCUAUGCUUUGUACAUCCCUUCGUCAAGAUGGCACAUCGCUACCUUGUUUAUUGUCCUUGCUACCUGCACCAUUACUUGGCUAGAAUUUUUCUUUAUCACUUGAGCUUCUGCUCCUUUCUUCAUUAGAGCCUCCCUUGUACAUAAUUUCCCGUAGCCAUGACCCAAACUGCUUGGAUCUAGUUCUUCUAGAUCUGGUUGGACAUGACUUCUCUAUAUGUCCAAUUAUGCCACAACUAUAGCAGAAAUCGGGGAGGUACUCAUAUGUUAUAGAGAUAAUCUUUCUCUCCUUUUCUUCCUUUCCGGCCCCUUCUCCUCGUCUCCGUCAACACCCCAGGUGCCAUUUCAUUAGCAUGUUCCUCUUCCUCUUCGUCCUCAAUAAAGGAUGUUAUAAAUCUCAUUAUUGGAACUGUUAUCUAUUUUCACUUUAAUUCUCAUGAAUACUCCCAUUGAGUCCCCAUUGACAUUUGAAUUGUGACGCCCGGAUAAUCAAGCUACAGUAACCUUUGCUAAUGAUGCCACAUCACCUCGAUUACUGUUGCUAAUCUCGCGUUAGUUCGAAAUCGAUUCAAAUUCAAAUUCAAAAUCAAGCAAACAAUAAAGCUUUUCAAAUAUUAAAACUAAAAUGUUCGGAGUGAACCAAAUAUUGCUUAGGAAAUAAUGGUGGAUAAACCACACCUUUAUAAAAUGUUUAAAUACUAUAAGCUGAAUAAAACAGUAGCAAAAACUAUUAUUUAAAUACUUUUAAAUAUUAAAUAAUUACGAAACUAUUUUAGCUUGGGUAGCAAAUUAAUGUGGUAGUGGUAUAUUUGACAUACUAAAUUUAGGUGCUGUUUUGACAUUUUAUAAAUUGAACUAAAUUAAAGUUUGAAAGAAACAGUGAAAGAAAAUAAAAAAGGAAAGUAUAAAAAAGACAUAAACAAAACUGAAAUAAAAACAGAACUCCCCUGGCCAACUGGGCCAUGACCCAGCCGGUCGGCCCACCGGCCCAACCGCGCCCCUGGCCUAUAUGGUCUGCCGACUCCCGAACCCUAGCCUCUCCCCUCCCCGAUCCCGUCUCACUCCCCCUCACCCCUGGAUCUGCACGAUGCCCAUCCCCGUCGCCCCGCACGACCCCCCCACUCCUCCCGCACGAUCCCCCACCCUUCCCGCACGACCCCCACUCCUUCCGACUGAGACCCCCACUUCCUCUCNNNNNNNNNNNNNNNNNNNNNNNNNNNNNNNNNNNNNNNNNNNNNNNNNNNNNNNNNNNNNNNNNNNNNNNNNNNNNNNNNNNNNNNNNNNNNNNNNNNNNNNNNNNNNNNNNNNNNNNNNNNNNNNNNNNNNNNNNNNNNNNNNNNNNNNNNNNNNNNNNNNNNNNNNNNNNNNNNNNNNNNNNNNNNNNNNNNNNNNNNNNNNNNNNNNNNNNNNNNNNNNNNNNNNNNNNNNNNNNNNNNNNNNNNNNNNNNNNNNNNNNNNNNNNNNNNNNNNNNNNNNNNNNNCCCUUGCCGUGCUAGAGCAUCACCUCGCCGGCGCGCCCGCGCCCGAGGAACCGCCGCCUCCCCGCUGGACAGGCCGUCCUCGACCUCCUCCUCGCCGACCCCCCUCUCCCUCGCCCCCUCUGCCCGAUCUAGAUCGGGAGGGGGCCGCCCCGACUUCGCUGGCACCCUCGACAACGCCGCCGCUCGCCGUCCCUGGAGGCACCUCGACGCCGCGCCUCGUCGCCUGAUGCCGCCCGAAGCUACUCCACCUCGCCAACAUCGGCGGACCACCGUCGUCCUCGUCCUCCUCCUCGAGCUCGCUGCCACUCCCCUACACCGUCCGUGCGCACUUCCCUCUCUUCCCGUCCCCGUUGCCCAUUUCGGCCGCCGACGCUGCCGCACAUGUGUUGGUCGGCCCCUGCCCGUUGCCCGCUUCCAGCCGCUGUCGCCCACGGCACCCCCCUGUGCACCCUCCCGGCGCCUCGGCCUCCUGCCGCUGGCCAUCCCGCAGCCACCAUGCGGCGCGCCUCCUCGUGACGCACCUAUAGCUCCAGCCGCAUCGCAAACCGUCAUCGGAACCAAUUGCGCGGUCGUCGCCAGCAAGCUCGGCCUCAUCGCCAUUAACAUGCUGACGUGGCGCGUGACUAACCCCUAUUUCAGCACUAACCCGAACACCUAAACAGGCACUGACAUGUGAACCCUCCCUAAUUAACCUAAACAUAAAUAAUCUAUUUAACUAAUCUAACAACCCAGUGUCAAUGACACGCGGGCCCCCACCACUAAAUGAAAUGACUAGAUUAAACUGUUAAGUUAAUAGCCAGUUACACGUAAGGCCCACUAGCUAAUUAGUUUAAGUUAAAUAAAACCUGUUGUUAAACUCUCUCACUGACCAGUGGGGCCGUUGUUCUGCUGACUCAACCCGGCCCACCAGUCAGCCUCUGCUGACUGGGCAGUUGACCAAGUCAACUAGGCCCCAUGCCAAGCUUUGUUGCAUAUUGCUGGGUACACUUCUUGUGUACCCAUAGCAUUUAAAUAUUAAUUUAAUUUCGCAUUAAAUUAAAUCCAGAAAUUAGAAAAUCAUUUAGAACUUUGAAAAUUAAUAUAAAAUAAUCCAUAACUUGGAUGAAAAUACUUUGUACAUGAAAGUUGCUCAGAACGACGAGAGGAAUCCGAAUACGCAGCUCGUUCGUCAGCCACAUGUCCCUAGCAUAGCAAACGUGCAACAUUUCACCUCCGGUUCAUUUGUCCGAAAAUGCGAAACGCCGGUGAUACUUUCCCGGAUGUUUCCCCCCUUCGUCGGUAUCACCUACUACGGCGUUAGGGCACACCUAGCACCGCGUAUUGCCAUGUUACGCUUUGUGAUGCUUUGAUUGCUCUGUUAUUUAUUGUGUUCCCCCUCCGUUACUUCUUUUCGGUAGACCCCGAGACUGCCGGCGACCCCCAGUUCGACUACGGAGUUGACGACCCCUCCUUCUUGCCAGAGCAACCAGGCAAGCCCCCCCCCUUGAUCACCAGAUAUCGCCUAUUUUUCUCUAUACUACUUGCAUUAGAGUAGUGUAGCAUGUUACUGUUCGGUUACUCCUGUUCUGUUGCAUAGCCUGUCAUUGCUGCUACAGUUGUUGAUACCUUACCCGCAAUCCUAAAUGCUUAGUAUAGGAUGCUAGUUUAUCAUCAGUGGCCCUACAUUCUUGUUAGUCUGCCUUGCUAUACUAUCGGGCCGUGAUCACUCGGGAGGUGAUCACGGGUAUAUACUAUACAUAUAUACAUACUAUAUAGAUGGUGACUAAAGUCGGGCCGGCUCGUUGAGCACUCGCAAGUCAUUCGGAUAUGAGGGCUGGAAGGACAGGUGGCUCCAUCCCGGUAGAGGUGGGCCUGGGUUCUCGACGGCCCCCGACUGUUACUUUGUGGUGGAGCGACAGGGCAGGUUGAGACCACCUAGGAGAGAGGUGGGCCUGGCCCUGGUCGGCGUUCGCGGUUACAUCAAUUAACACGCUUAACAAGAUCUUGGUAUUUGAUCUGAGUCUGGCCACUUUCCUAUACGCACUAACCAACUACGUGGGAACAGUUAUGGGCACUCGACAUCGUGGUAUCAACCAAAGCCUUCUUGACGUCAGGGACUGAGCGGCGCGCGCCGGAUUGGACUGGAACGCGUGCUCUUGUAUUAGGGAGGCUAGGUCUGCUUCCGGCCGCCCUCGCAAUGUGCAGGUGUACAAUGGGUGAUGGGCCCAGACCCCUGCGCGCAUAGGAUUUAGACCGGCAUGCUGACCUCUCUGUUGUGCCUAGGUGGGGCUGCGACGUGUUGAUCUUCCGAGGCCAAGCAUUGUUGGGGAACGUAGUAAUUUCAAAAAAUUUCCUACGCACACGCAAGAUCAUGGUGAUGGUAUAGCAACGAGAGGGGAGAGUGUUGUCCACGUACCCUCGUAGACCAUAAGCGGAAGCGUUAGCACAACGCGGUUGAUGUAGUCGUACGUCUUCACGAUCCGACCGAUCCAAGCACCGAACGUACGGGGCCUCCGAGUUCAGCACACGUUCAGCUCGAUGACGAUCUCCAUGCUCCGGUCCAGCAAAGCUCCAGAGAUGAGUUCCGUCAGCAUGACGGCGUGGUGACGAUGAUGAUGCUCUACCGGCGCAGGGCUUCGCCUAAACUCCGCGAUGAUAUGACCGAGGUGGAAUAUGGUGGAGGGGGGCACCACACACAGCUAAGGAACGAUCCAUAGAUCAACUUCUGUGUCUAUGGGGUGCCCCCCCGCCCCCGUAUAUAAAGGAGCCAGGGGGGAGGAGGCGGCCGACCAAGGAGGGCGCGCCAAGGGGGGAGUCCUACUCCCACCGGGAGUAGGACUCCCUUCUUUCCAAGUAGGAGUAGGAGAAGGGGGGAAAGAGGAGGAAGAGGGGAAGGAAAGGGGGGGCGCCGCCCCCCUUCCCUUGUCCUAUUCGGACUAGGAUGGGGAGGGGCGCGCGGCCCCCUCCUGGCUCCUUCCCUCUUCUCCCUCGUGCCCAUGUAGGCCCAAUAACCCUCGGGGGGUUCCGGUAACCUCCCGAUACUCCGGUAAAAUGCUGAUUUCACCCGGAACGAUUCCGGUGUCCAAAUAUAGGCUUCCAAUAUAUCGAUCUUUAUGUCUCGACCAUUUCGAGACUCCUCGUCAUAUCCAUGAUCACAUCCGGGACUCCGAACAAACUUCAGUACAUCAAAACUUAUAAACUCAUAAUAAAACUGUCAUUGUAACGUUAAGCGUGCGGACCCUACGGGUUCGAGAACUAUGUAGACAUGAACUAGAACUAUUCUCGGUCAAUAACCAAUAGUGGGACCUGGAUGCCCAUAUUGGUUCCUACAUAUUCUAUGAAGAUCUUUAUCAGUCAAACCGCAUAACAACAUACGUUGUUCCCUUUGUCAUCGGUAUGUUACUUGCCCGAGAUUUGAUCAUCGGUAUCCAAUACCUAGUUCAAUCUCGUUACCGGCAAGUCUCUUUACUCAUUCUGUAAUGCAUUAUCUCGUAACCAACUCAUUGGUCACAUUGCUUGCAAGGCUUAUAAUGAUGUGCAUUACCGAGAGGGCCCAGAGAUACCUCUUCGACUAUCGGAGUGACAAAACCUAAUCUCGAAAUACGCCAACUCAACAUGUACCUUUGGAGACACCUGUAGUACUCCUUUAUAAUCACCCAGUUACGUUGUGACAUUUGGUAGUACCCAAAGUGUUCCUCCGGUAAAUGGGAGUUGCAUAAUUCUCAUAGUUAUAGGAACAUGUAUAAGUCAUGAAGAAAGCAAUAGCAGUAUACUAAACGAUCAAGUGCUAGGCUAACGGAAUGGGUCAUGUCAAUCACAUCAUUAUUCUAAUGAUGUGAUCCCACUAAUCAAAUGACAACACAUGUCUAUGGUUAGGAAACAUAACCAUCUUUGAUUAAUGAGCUAGUCAAGUAGAGGCAUACUAGUGACUAUAGGUUUGUCUAUGUAUUCACACAUGUAUCAUGUUUCCGGUUAAUACAAUUCUAGCAUGAAUAAUAAACAUUUAUCAUGAUAUGAGGAAAUAAAUAAUAACUUUAUUAUUGCGUCUAGGGCAUAUUUCCUUCAGUCUCCCACUUGCACUCGAGUCAAUAAUCUAGAUUACAUAGUAAUGAUUCUAACACCCAUGGAGUCUUGGUGCUGAUCAUGUUUUGCUCGUGAGAGAGGCUUAGUCAACGGGUCUGCAACAUUCAGAUCCGUAUGUAUCUUGCAAAUCUCUAUGUCUCCCACGUGGACUUGGUCCCGAAUGGAAUUGAAGCGUCUCUUGAUGUGCUUGGUCCUCUUGUGAAAUCUAGAUUCCUUUGCCAAGGCAAUUGCACCAGUAUUGUCACAGAAGAUCUUCAUUGGUCCCGAUGCACUAGGUAUGACACCUAGAUCGGAAAUGAACUCCUUCAUCCAGACUCCUUCAUUUGCUGCUUCAGAAGCAGCUAUGUACUCCGCUUCACAUGUAGAUCCCGCCACGACGCUUUGUUUAGCACUGCACCAACUUACAGCUCCACCGUUUAAUAAAAACACGUAUCCGGUUUGCGAUUUAGAAUCGUCCAGAUCAGUGUCAAAGCUUGCAUCGACAUAACCAUUUACGACUAGCUCUUUGUCACCUCCAUAUACGAGAAACAUAUCCUUAGUCCUUUUCAGAUAUUUCAGGAUGUUCUUGACCGCUGUCAAGUGAUCCACUCCUGGAUUACUUUGGUACCUUCCUGCCAAACUUAUUGCUAAGCAUACGUCAGGUCUGGUACACAUCAUUGCAUACAUGAUAGAGCCUAUGGCUGAAGCAUAGGGAACAUCUUUCAUUUUCUCUCUAUCUUCUGCUUUGGUCGGGCAUUGAGUUUGACUCAACUUCACACCUUGUAGCACAGGCAAGAAACCUUUCUUUGCCUGAUCCAUUUUGAACUUUUUCGAAAUUUUGUCAAGGUAUGUGCUUUGUGAAAGUCCUAUUAAGCGUCUUGAUCUAUCUCUAUAGAUCUUGAUGCCCAAUAUGUAAGCAGCUUCACCGAGGUCUUUCAUUUAAAAACUUUUAUUCAAGUAUCCCUUUAUGCUAUCCAGAAAUUCUAUAUCAUUUUCAAUUAAUAAUAUGUCAUCUACAUAUAAUAUCAGAAAUGCUACAGAGCUCCCACUCACUUUCUUGUAAACACAGGCUUCUCCAAAAGUCUGUAUAAAACCAUAUGCUUUGAUCACACUAUCAAAGCGUUUAUUCCAACUCCGAGAUGCUUGCACCAAUCCAUAAAUGGAACGUUGGAGCUUGCACACUUUGUUAGCACCUUUUGGAUCAACAAAACCUUCUGGCUGCAUCAUAUACAACUCUUCUUCCAGAAAUCCAUUCAAGAAUGCAGUUUUGACAUCCAUUUGCCAAAUUUCAUAAUCAUGAAAUGCAGCAAUAGCUAACAUGAUUCGGAUAGACUUAAGCAUCGCUACGGGUGAGAAAGUCUCAUCGUAGUCAACUCCUUGAACUUGUCGAAAACCUUUCGGAACAAGUCGAGCUUUAUAGACAGUUACAUUACCAUCAGCGUCAGUCUUCUUCUUAAAGAUCCAUUUAUUUUCAAUGGCUUGCCGAUCAUCGGGCAAGUCAACCAAAGUCCAUACUUUGUUUCAUACAUGGAUCCCAUCUCAGAUUUCAUGGCCUCUAGCUAUUUUGGGAAUCUGGGCUCAUCAUCGCUUCCUCAUAGUUUGUAGGUUCAUCAUGGUCAAGUAACAUGGCUUCCAGAAUAGGAUUACCGUACCAUUCUGGUGCAGAUCUUACUCUGGUAGACCUACGAGGUUCAGUAGAAACUUGAUCUGAAGUUUCAUGAUCCAUAUCAUUAGCUUCCUCACUAAUUGGUUUAGUUGUCACAGGAACCGGUUCUUGUGAUGAACUACUUUCCAAUAAGGGAGUAGAUACAGUUAUCUCAUCAAGUUCUACUUUCCUCCCACUCACUUCUUUCGAGAGAAACUCCUUCUCUAGAAAGGAUCCGAUUUUAGCAACGAAAAUCUUGCCCUCAGAUCUGUGAUAGAAGGUGUACACAAUAGUCUCUUUUGGGUAUCCUAUGAAGACACAUUUCUCCGAUUUGGGUUCGAGCUUAUCUGGUUGAAGUUUCUUCACAUAAGCAUCGCAGCCCCAAACUUUAAGAAACGACAACUUUGGUUUCUUGCCAAACCACAGUUCAUAAGGCGUUGUCUUAACGGAUUUUGAUGGUGCCCUAUUUAACGUGAAUGCGUCCGUUUCUAUAGCAUAACCCCAAAACGAUAGCGGUAAAUCAGUAAGAGACAUCAUAGAUCACACAAUAUCUAGUAAAGUACGAUUACGACGUUCAGACACACCAUUUCGUUGUGGUGUUCCGGGUGGCGUGAGUUGCGAAACUAUUCCACAUUGUUUCAAGUGCAGACCAAACUCGUAACUCAAAUAUUCUCCUCCACGAUCAGAUCGUAGAAACUUUAUUUUCUUGUUACGAUGAUUUUCCACUUCACUCUGAAAUUCUUUGAACUUUUCAAAUGUUUCAGACUUGUGUUUCAUUGAGUAGAUAUACCCAUAUCUGCUCAAAUCAUCUGUGAAGGUGAGAAAAUAACGAUACCCGCCGCGAGCCUCAACAUUCAUUGGACCACAAACAUCAGUAUGUAUGAUUUCCAACAAAUCAGUUGCCCGCUCCAUAGUUCCGGACAACGGCGUUUUAGUCAUCUUGCCCAUGAGGCACGGUUCGCAAGUACCAAGUGAUUCAUAAUCAAGUGAUUCCAAAAGCCCAUCAGUAUGGAGUUUCUUCAUGCGCUUUGCACCGAUAUGACCCAAACGACAAUGCCACAAAUAAGUUGCACUAUCAUUAUCAACUCUGCAUCUUUUGGUUUCCACACUAUGAACAUGUGUAUCACUACUAUCGAGAUUCAAUAAGAAUAGACCACUCUUCAAGGGUGCAUGACCAUAAAAUAUAUUACUCAUAUAAAUAGAACAACCAUUAUUCUCUGAUUUAAAUGAAUAACCGUCUCGCAUCAAACAAGAUCCAGAUACAAUGUUCAUGCUCAACGCUGGCACCAAAUAACAAUUAUUUAGGUCUAAAACUAAUCCCGAUGGUAGAUGUAGAGGUAGCGUGCCGACCGCGAUCACAUCGACUUUGGAACCAUUUCCCACGCGCAUCGUCACCUCUUCCUUAGCCAAUCUUCGCUUAAUCCGUAGUCCAUGUUUCGAGUUGCAAAUAUUAGCAACAGAACCAGUAUCAAAUACCCAGGUGCUACUGCGAGCAUUAGUAAGGUACACAUCAAUAACAUGUAUAUCACAUAUACCUUUGUUCACUUUGCCAUCCUUCUUAUCCGCCAAAUACUUGGGGCAGUUCCGCUUCCAGUGUCCAGUCUGCUUGCAGUAGAAGCACUCAGUUUCAGGCUUAGGUCCAGACUUGGGUUUCUUCUCUUGAGCAGCAACUUGCUUGCCGUUCUUUUUGAAGUUCCCCUUCUUCUUCCCUUUGCCCUUUUUCUUGAAACUGGUGGUCUUGUUAACCAUCAACACUUGAUGCUCCUCCUUGAUUUCUACCUCCGCAGCUUUUAGCAUUGCGAAGAGCUCGGGACUAGUCUUGUUCAUCCCUUGCAUAUUAUAGUUCAUCACGAAGCUCUUGUAGCUUGGUGGCAGUGAUUGGAGAAUUCUGUCAAUGACACUAUCAUCAGGAAGAUUAACUCCCAGUUGAAUCAAGUGAUUAUUAUACCCAGACAUUUUGAGUAUGUGUUCACUGACAGAACUAUUCUCCUCCAUCUUGCAGCCAUAGAACUUAUUGGAGACUUCAUAUCUCUCAAUCCGGGCAUUUGCUUGAAAUAUUAACUUCAACUCCUGGAACAUCUCAUAUGCUCCAUGACGUUCAAAACGUCGUUGAAGACCCGGUUCUAAGCCGUAAAGCAUGGCACACUGAACUAUCGAGUAGUCAUCAGCUUUGCUCUGCCAGACGUUCUUAACAUCGUCAGUUGCAUCAGCAGUAGGCCUGGCACCCAGCGGUGCUUCCAGGACAUAACUUUUCUGUGCAGCAAUGAGGAUAAUCCUCAGGUUACGGACCCAGUCCAUGUAAUUGCUACCAUCAUCUUUCAACUUUGCUUUCUCAAGGAACGCAUUCAAAUUCAAUGGAACAACAGCACGAGCCAUCUAUCUACAAACAAACAUAGACAAGCAAAAUACUAUCAGGUACUAAGUUCAUGAUAAAUUUAAGUUCAAUUAAUCAUAUUACUUAAGAACUCCCACUUAGACAGACAUAUCUCUAGUCAUCUAAGUGAUCACGUGAUCCAAAUCAACUAAACCAUGUCCGAUCAUCACGUGAGAUGGAGUAGUUUCAAUGGUGAACAUCACUAUGUUGAUCAUAUCUACUAUAUGAUUCACGCUCGACCUUUCGGUCUCCGUGUUCCGAGGCCAUAUCUAUAUAUGCUAGGCUCGUCAAGUAUGACCUGAGUAUUCCGCGUGUGCAACUGUUUUGCAUCCGUUGUAUUUGAACGUAGAGCCUAUCACACCCGAUCAUCACGUGGUGUCUCAGCACGAAGAACUUUCGCAACGGUGCAUACUCAGGGAGAACACUUCUUGAUUAUUAAGUGAGAGAUCAUCUUAAAAUGCUAUCGUCAAUCAAAGCAAGAUAAGAUGCAUAAAGGAUAAACAUCACAUGCAAUCAAUAUAAGUGAUAUGAUAUGGCCAUCAUCAUCUUGUGCUUGUGAUCUCCAUCUUCGAAGCACCAUCGUGAUCACCAUCGUCAUCGGCGCGACACCUUGAUCUCCAUCGUAGCAUUAUUGUCGUUACGAUGUCUAUUGCUUCUACGACUAUCGCUACCGCUUAGUGAUAAAGUAAAGCAAUUACAGGGCGUUUGCGUUUCAUACAAUAAAGCGACAACCAUAUGGCUCCUGCCAGUUGCCGAUAACUUCGGUUACAAAACAUGAUCAUCUCAUACAAUAACAUAUAGCAUCACGUCUUGACCAUAUCACAUCACAACAUGCCCUGCAAAAACAAGUUAGACGUCCUCUACUUUGUUGUUGCAAAUUUUACGUGGCUGCUACGGGCUUUAGCAAGAACCGUUCUUACCUACGCAUCAAAAACCACAACGAUAGUUCGUCAAGUUGGUGUUGUUUUAACCUUCGCAAGGACCGGGCAUAGCCACACUCGAUUCAGCUAAAGUGAGAGAGACAAACACCCGCCAGCCACCUUUAAGCACGAGUGCUUGUAACGGUGAAACCAGUCUCGCGUAAGCGUACGCGUAAUGUCGGUCCGGGCCGCUUUAUCUCACAAUACCGCGGAACCAAAGUAUGACAUGCUGGUAAGCAGUAUGAGUUGUAUCGCCCACAACUCACUUGUGUUCUACUCGUGCAUAUAACAUGAACGCAUAAAACCUAGGCUCUGAUACCACUGUUGGGGAACGUAGUAAUUUCAAAAAAAUUCCUACGCACACGCAAGAUCAUGGUGAUGGUAUAGCAACAAGAGGGGAGAGUGUUGUCCACGUACCCUCAUAGACCGUAAGCGGAAGCGUUAGCACAAUGCGGUUGAUGUAGUCGUACGUCUUCACGAUCUGACCGAUCCAAGCACCGAACGUACGGGGCCUCCGAGUUCAGCACACGUUCAGCUCGAUGACGAUCUCCGACCCUCCAAUCCAGCAAAGGCUCCAGAGAUGAGUUCCGUCAGCACGACGGCGUGGUGACGAUGAUGAUGUUCUACCGGCGCAGGGCUUCGCCUAAACUCCGCGACGAUAUGACCGAGGUGGAAUAUGGUGGAAGGGGGCACCGCACACGGCUAAGGAACGAUCCGUAGAUCAACUUGUGUGUCAUUGGGGUGCCCCCCGCCCCCGUAUAUAAAAGAGCCAGGGGGGAGGAGGCGGCCGGCCUAGAGGGCGCGCCAAGGGGGGAGUCCUACUCCCACCGGGAGUAGGACUCCCUCUUUCCUAGUAGGAUUAGGAGAAGGGGGGAAAGAGGAGGAAGAGGGGAAGGAAAGGGGGGGCGCCGCCCCCCUUCCCUUGUCCUAUUCGGACUAGGAUGGGGAGGGGCGGGCGGCCCCCUCCUGGCUCCUUCCCUCUUCUCCCUCGUGGCCCAUGUAGGCCCAAUAACCCCCCGGGGGGUUCCGGUAACCUCCCGGUACUCCGGUAAAAUGCCGAUUUCACCCGGAAUGAUUCCGAUGUCCAAAUAUAGGCUUCCAAUAUAUCGAUCUUUAUGUCUCGACCAUUUUGAGACUCCUCGUCAUGUCCGUGAUCACAUCCGGGACUCCGAACAAACUUCGGUACAUCAAAACUUAUAAACUCAUAAUAAAACUGUCAUUGUAACGUUAAGCGUGCGGACCCUACGGGUUCGAGAACUAUGUAGACAUGACCUAGAACUAUUCUUGGUCAAUAACCAAUAGCGGGACCUGGAUGCCCAUAUUGGUUCCUACAUAUUCUACGAAGAUCUUUAUCGGUCAAACCGCAUAACAACAUACGUUGUUCCCUUUGUCAUCGGUAUGUUACUUGCCCGAGAUUUGGUCGUCGGUAUCCAAUACCUAGUUCAAUCUCGUUACUGGCAAGUCUCUUUACUCGUUCUGUAAUGCAUUAUCUCGUAACCAACUCAUUGGUCACAUUGCUUGCAAGGCUUAUAAUGAUGUGCAUUACCGAGAGGGCCCAGAGAUACCUCUCCGACUAUCGGAGUGACAAAACCUAAUCUCGAAAUACGCCAACUCAACAUGUACCUUUGGAGACACCUGUAGUACUCCUUUAUAAUCACCCAGUUACGUUGUGACGUUUGGUAGUACCCAAAGUGUUCCUCCGGUAAACGGGAGUUGCAUAAUUCUCAUAGUUAUAGGAACAUGUAUAAGUCAUGAAGAAAGCAAUAGCAGUAUACUAAACGAUCAAGUGCUAGGCUAACGAAAUGGGUCAUGUCAAUCACAUCAUUCUUCUAAUGAUGUGAUCCCACUAAUCAAAUGACAACACAUGUAUAUGGUUAGGAAACAUAACCAUCUUUGAUUAAUGAGCUAGUCAAGUAGAGGCAUAGUAGUGACUAUAGGUUUGUCUAUGUAUUCACACAUGUAUCAUGUUUCCGGUUAAUACAAUUCUAGCAUGAAUAAUAAACAUUUAUCAUGAUAUGAGGAAAUAAAUAAUGACUUUACUAUUGCCUCUAGGGCAUAUUUCCUUCAAGCAUGACCUAGGAAAGUGUGCCCGGCCAAAUGGGAUCGAGCGUGUUGGGUUAUGUGGUGCACCCCUGCAGGGAAGUUUAUCUAUUCGAAUAGCCGUGUCCCUCGGUAAAAGGACGACCUGGAGUUAUACCUUGACCUUAUGACAACUAGAACCGGAUACUUAAUAAAACACACCCAGACAAGUUCCACAGACAACCCGGUGAUCGCUUUUCCACAGGGCGACGAGGGGAGGAUCGCCGGGUAGGAUUAUGCUAUGCGAUGCUACUUGGAGGACUUCAAUCUACUCUCUUCUAAAUGCUGCAAGACGGAGGCUACCAGAAGCGUAGUCUUCGAUAGGACUAGCUAUCCUCCUCUUAUUCUGGCAUUCAGCAGUUCAGUCCACCGAUAUUGCCUCUUUACACAUAUACCCAUGCAUAUGUAGUGUAGAUCCUUGCUUGCGAGUACUUUGGAUGAGUACUCACGGUUGCUUUGCUCCCUCUUUUCCCCUGUUUUCCUCUUCUUCUCGGAUGCUGAAACCAGACGUUGGAGCCCAGGAUCUAGAUGCCAUCGUCGAUGACGAGUAAUACACUGGAGGAGCCUACUACUACGUGCAGUCCGCUGACGACGACCAGGAGUAGUUUAGGAGGAUCCCAGGCAGGAGGCCUGCGCCUCUUUCGAUCUGUAUCCCAGUUUAUGCUAGCCAUCUUAUGGCAACUUGUUUAACUUAUGUCUGUACUCAGAUAUUGUUGCUUCCGCUGACUCGUCUAUGAUCGAGCACUUGUAUUCGAGCCCCUCGAGGCCCCUGGCUUGUAUUAUGAUGCUUGUAUGACUUAUUUUACUUUUAGAGUUGUGUUGUGAUAUCUUUCCGUGAGUCCCUGAUCUUGAUCAUACACAUUUGCGUGCAUGAUUAGUGUACGGUUGAAUCGGGGGCGUCACAUGAAUCCACCUCAAUAACCUUCCCUAUUUGUUCUCCUAUUUUCGCCUCAUAGUAGGUGUUCCGUCCACGACUAUUCCGAUUCUGAGGAAACCCGACUUCAAGUUAAAGUUCCAGGCUCGCACCCCCGCGUCGCCUCCUCUGAGGCGACUCGGGGGCCAACCCUAGCACCGCUGCCGCGUUUUCCCCCUCUCCUCCCCUCUCUGCUGCCGCCUGAGGGCCUCCGAGGCGCGGGUGCUCGGCCUCAAUGAUGGCGGCGGCGGGAUCUGGCGCCUCCUCUCCUUUGGAGGGCCUUGGUUCCGCGGGGCGGCGGCCCCGGCCGGUUGGCGCGGUGCAGCCGGCGGGCUGCGCCGGCGGGCUCUGCUGGGCAGCCUCCCACAGCCGCGCGGACGGUGUGGGGGCUGUGGACGCCGGCGCAGUAGUGGCUCCUCGCAAUCCGUCAUGGCUCCAUGUAGAAGAUCCGCCCCUGCUCCGAUCUGUCCCGAUCCGUGCUGGCACCGAUCCUUGGCGGCUACUUUCGGCGUCCCUAUUGCCGGCCUGGCGGAUCUGGCGUGCGGGUGAGGGUCCGGGGGAAACCCCUGGCUGGCGCGGCGGCCUCCCCAAAGUCGACGCCUUUGGUGUCGAUCCCCUUCCUGGAGGUUUUGGGGUGGAUCCUCUCCCUUCCGCCUCCUCCUCGAGCUAUGGCGAAAGCUUUUGUUCCCAUGUUCUGGGCGUCGACGACACCCUGGUGUCGUGUUCCUUCUUGAAGGCGGCGGCCGGGAACAACUCUUGGUGGCGAGGCUGCUGGUGGCAUGGUGGCGGUGCGACUUCGGCCUUCUACUUGGUGUUGCGCCUUGCUUCGCGGCACCAGCGGACGGUUUCUUUGGUGGAGCGGUGCUUCAUCCAUCCAUUGAUGGCGACGGAUCUUUACGGCAUUGCGCAGUGCAGAUUCGACGUUCGAUGUGGGAGGAUGGACUCGCGCAGGAGGACGACGCUGUCUGGCGCCGUGGUGGCGCCGAUGACAGAGAGACCUGGCAAGGUAGAUGCAACAGUACAACUCUGAAGAUGGACUCGUGGUAGGUGGCUGCGGCGGCCUCGUACCUAGCAGGCGUCCUGGUUGAGGAGUGCGCCAGACUCGUAGGUGCCUCAUACCAGGCAGGCGUCCUGGUUGGGACCUCAGGUCUUAGAUGUUUAGGUUUGGUUGCGAUGUCUGUUUGGUAUUAGGCCCAGGCUAUCAGCGCCCCUUCAUCAAUUGGAUAGAUGUAGCGACAGUUGUUGCUUAGACGGUGGCUUUAGUCUUGCUGUUGUAUGACUUUGUAAAGUCUUGUGAGAAUAAUUAAUAAAAUGACCGUAUGCAUCGCCCAAAUGCAAAGGCCGGGGGUCAUCCUCCUUUAAAAAAAAAAAUGUUCCGUCCACGAGCACCUUGCAGGCUUCUUGAUAAUGCCCCGGCGGGCUUCUCCCCUUUUCCGUUCCCUUUUUGCUUUCGCUAUCAAUUAGUGGAAAAGGGUGUGAGCCCGGUUGAAAAAGAAAAUCCACACCUAGAAGCAAAACGCAGCAAGCCGUUGGAUUUCUCGUCGUACGAAGGUAGAACAAUAAGUAUCGUGUGUAUAGCGGUUUGGAUACACAGGCGUGACUACUCCUCCGUAUACGUAGAGUGAGGUAAUGUACAUAAAUGCGACAACAGUUACUCCCACCCCCACCCCCCAUCCCUACAGCCUGCAGCUGAAUUUACAGCGACAACAGUACUUGCCUGUACGUGCUGCAACCUGCAAUGCCAUGUGGUAACUUCAAAGCUAGCUAACGCUCUUUCUUUUCAGUUUUGAUAAUAAUUUCUUUUUUCUUUUUACUAUUGCCGAGCUGUGGUGUUUUUCAUCCUCUGUCUUGGUCUUAAUUUAUAAGAGUACAGUACUACUUCCACCGUCUCAUAAUUUAAGAUCAUUUUGCAAGACGGAAGGACUAGUUUUUUUUUUAAAAUGAAAACGGAGGGAGUAGCUAAUUAACCAGGCCGUGUUAAUUGGGCUUCCAACUCGUGUCGUCUGAAGACAUCUCUUUCUUCUUCCCUUCAUUUUUUUUUUACUCCAGUACCGUUCAAGAUAUCUGUUGAUGCACUUCAGUUAGGAAAUCUCCAAUGGUGAUGGGGACUUAAGAAAAACUUGUCUAGAUCGUCAAGUUUCAUUCAGCCAAUCGACACUACUGAGCUCAGCAAUAUACUCCGACCAAAACACAAUAUGAGUUUGCUGUUCCAACCAAAUGGUAAUCGAGCUCGUAAUUAACAAGUGAACCAACAAAAGAUUACUACAAUAAUACUUCAUUCAUUUCAUCAUUGCAUACCACGGCACAAGCUGACACGUACAUCUAGCAUUAUUCAUAUGCCUCAAGAACAUGCACCACUACUACAGAUAACCAAGAACUUAACACGACCGACCGACAGAGAUGGACCUAACGACGUAAUUAAGCGACAAACACAACAAACAAAUCGAGUUCUCCAAACGUACGUACGCGCGGCGUAUAGCGCCCACAGAACCAGCAUGCAUGCACGCUACGAGUAGCACUACCGAACCAUCAACCAUGCGCCCCGUCAGUGCUUGCCACACACCAGCGGAUCUAGCUAUCAACGGCCGCCCUCAGCUUUUCACGGCUUCUUGGCGUGCUCGUCGACGGCAGCUGCAGCGGGGGACCCCGGCAUGCCGCCGAAGCCGCCGAGACCGGGGGAGCCGCCGAGGCCGGGGGAGCUGCCGCCGAGGAAGGGCAUGCUGCCGAUGCCGCCGAAGCCCGAGGUGGCGCCGCUGCUGCCGGGGAGGCUGAAUCCCGGCAUGCUGCUGCCGCCGCUGAAUGCCGGUGACCCGCUGCCGAGGCGGUCGAAGGGCGGGAAGGUCGUCGGCUGCAGGACCGCGUCCUUGCUGGCGGCUGCCGCCUCCGUCGUCUUGAUGUUCCUCGCCUCGGCGCUGGUCGCCGCGGCCAGCACGGCGAGGACGAGCAUCGCCGCCAUCUUGGUCGACUUCUCCAU